Molecule: long non-coding RNA, 56770 nt
Filed under: Eucalyptus grandis
Lineage: Eukaryota; Viridiplantae; Streptophyta; Magnoliopsida; Myrtales; Myrtaceae
Description: long non-coding RNA (EGRA_LNC005876)
Source: RNAcentral
ACCAUCAAAUCCAAUCCCAAAAACACUUGCUCAGACACCAUCAAAUCCUUCGCAAAGUCUUUUUCUUACAAAAAAACAAACGAAAGCAACAAUGAAGCACCAGUUCAUUGUUCUGGCUCUCUUAUUCCUCAUCAACACAGCCCCGACCUCAGCUCAGCCAGCAGCCUCCCCAACAGCCCCAAUGGUCUUGCCGCCGCCACCCGUGUCCCUGGCACCCGUGUCCCCGGCGCCGGAUUCCCCUCCCCCGCCAGCGCCACCCCAAGCCCACCUCUUGAAGAUCCUCCAGAAGGCGGGUGGCUUCACCGUCCUGAUCAAGCUCCUCCGCGGCACCCACGUGUCCGACCAGGUGGACUCGGAGCUCUCCGACCUCAACGACGGCAUCACCUUCUUCGCGCCGGACGAUGCCGCCUUCUCAGCCCUCAAGGCCGGGACCCUCAACACCCUCUCGAACGAGCAGCAGGUCCAGCUCCUGCAGUUCCACAUGGUGCCCACCUAUUUGACCAUGUCCCAGUUCCAGACGGUGAGCAACCCUCUCAUGACCAGGGCCGGCGGCGUGGGCGGCAAGGAGUUCCCGCUCAAUGUCACCACGAAGGGCGACAAAGUCAGCGUCUUCACCGGGGUCGACGGAGCCUCGGUGACGAAGACACUGUUCACGGACGGCAAGCUCGCGGUGUACCAGGUGGACAAGGUGCUCCUCCCCGUCAGCAUCUUCUCGAAGGGAGAAGACUCCGCGCAGGGGCCGGCUCCACCGACGAAGAAGCCAGCCGAGCUGAGUGUCUCGGGCUCGAGCGAAGUCGGGAAGGUGAAGACUGGGGACGUCGUUCGCCUAGUCGUGGGCGUCGGGGUCGCCGGAGUCGUCGCUUCUCUCGGUUUGUGAUCUGAAAAUGGCGAUUCCGGGUUUUUUCAUUCAAUCGGUUUGUAGCUCCUUUUGGUUUCCCAGUGCACAACGUGUCUCUCUUGAAACUGGAUUUCUUUGUUUCUUUGUUUCUUUUGUUUAAAUGUCUCUCCUUUUGUUUCUUCCUUUUGGGUAUUUGUGACAAUCGUUUUGCGAUUCGAAUGUAAUAAAUAUCUUCUCUUUUAAUCUGUUUCGAGUUUCCAUAUGGUAUAAUUGUGGAUAUUUGGAGUCAUAUUGCAUGAUAUCUGCAUAUUGAAAUGGCAUAAUCUAUGCAUCUAACUAAAAAUAUUCUAAAACUAAAGAACCUUGUAGCCGGGCCAGGGAACUUCUUAAUUAAGAAGUUUGUCGACGAUGCACUCAGUAACGUCCCCUUUUCACGGCUUUAAUCGCUGCCAGAAAGCUAUACCAAACCCACUUUGCUAUAUGUUCUAUUAACAUACAGCAAUCUAGGCCCUACCAAACCUUUAUUGAAUUUGAGCCUUGUGCAAGCAAGGAUGAAAACAAGACAGGUUUGAGAGGGUGAAUCUUGUGUCAAAUUUGUCCCAUUAAAAAUGUGUUGUUAUUUGGAACCCAUCCCGAAUCUGUUACGAGUUUCAAAUAUGAAAUCCGGAAUUCUAACUUACUAAAGUAGUCAGGUGUCCAUAACUACCAUAGUGCUAAUAUUUCGCAUCAAACAAAUGAUAAACCACGUUAGAUUUGUAAAUACAGCCACUCAUUCACAUUUCACACGUUGGAGAUCUCUAAUUAGGAAACCUACGGGAACGACAAAAUAGAAGAAAUUGAAAAAAUAAUAAUAAUUAAGAUCAAUGUCUUAAGAAUAAAAAAAAAAUCUAAGAAUCCUAAAAAUGAGAAGUCAGACUUAACGAUCUUGCUACUCCAAGUGUUAGAUUACAAUUGAUUAUGUUUAGGGGUUCACAGAAUUAUGCAAACAGCCUCAAGGUUUUAGCAACAGCAUUUGGGUCUUUAGAGAAACGAUUGAUCAUGUUCAUGUUUCUAAUUCUACUAGUCAGGUAUGUCUAAGAAACGUUUUAAAUGCUAGCAGAAUUCAAAUAAUUAUGAAUGUCUAAAUUACCUAGAAACCAUGAAGGAAAAAUAAGGGCAUUUCAAUAUUUUAUAGAUAUCUAUAUAUAGAGUAGGUAGCGGGUUUCCAAACUAAAAAUCCCCAAGCUAAGACAUGUUGAGGUCGUAAAAGGAAUCGAACCGGUGGGGUGCCCCAUUAUAUCAGCCUUCUUGCCCGAUGUUCUUGCCUGCACUGAUCCGUUACAUCCGACUUGAACUUGGGACCAUCCUUUCGAUAAUUCAAAAUAAAGAAUUUAGUUUAAAUUUUAGUAACUCAUGAAAAAUUAUAGGCAAUGUGACAUGCCAAUAUUUGAAUAUUUCGAAUGAUUUCGGGUUAAGAAAAUAUGAAAAGAGUUCCACAAAAUGUCCCAAAAAUCAUAAGUCACCCAUCGCUCCCUCUUUCCGACCAACACCAGCUUCGCCACCCAUCCCGACCACCUCUCUCUUUCUCUUUCUCUCUCUCUCUAAAGGGAUCACCGUCGACAGCGAACCUCAUCAAAAAACACAAUUUUAAUGUUGCGAAUUUCGAAACGGAGCCUAUGUAAAAUUUUCCAAGUCCUAGAUGACCCAAACUUCUCUUUUGAUAUUAAGAAGUUUUACUAAAAGUUUUCUAUCGUGAGACAAAUAGAUACUUAAAAAAGUCUAUCGUCCAAAACAUUAGUCCUAAUCGUUUUAAUACCCAGCUGAAACUUGUUACACUUCUCCCUAAGAAAAUUGACAAAAUUUCUGGGAAAAUCUAGCAUUUUUCAUUGUUGAAAAUAAUUCAAGUGAUCUGGGCCCCACAAAGCCUGCCGAGUAAGCUUCUCGUUUAGUCGAUUCCAACAUUCAAGUUCGACUGAUCUCCUUCAGAGAUCGCAACUCCCUGAAAAAACAUUAUAUGCUUCUUCUCCGAAGAUGCUUUUCCUUUUUAGAGUUCGUUUUGAAAUGCAACACGAGCAAACUUUAUCUAGUGUCACAACAAGAAAGGACAAAUACCUACUGACGGGGGUCAAGCUUCGUCCCUCACGUGAAUUCCGCCGCCUCGCCUGCUCCUUCCAUGGAAGAACCCACCGAAGGAGAAAACCUACGGAGCUCUCGGUGCACCAAGAAAGGCCUGCUUUCGCUCCCGACUCCUAGAAAAUCUCUGGUCAUGCUGUUCUCAACUCCGUCUGGACUUGCAUGGAGCUUCCGGCUCUCUGUUUGGCCUGCGCUGCUCUCGACUCGACUUGAUGGGUACUGUCUGUACAACACGCGGGGACUGUUCCUGGGUUGUGGAGUGUAGGGGUUGAAGUCGGAAGCUGUAGAUAGUGAUGAUGGGAAUAAUGAUGAGGAUGAAGAUGAUGAGCUCAACACAGCAUUAUUAUUGAUCAGAAGUGAUGCUGAAUUAUUGUUUCUGGUCGAUCCCAGUUGGGCUGCUUUUUGCAGGAGAGCAGUUGCUGACAAGUGACCUGUGCUUCCUCGGUGACUUGGGUGAUUAUUAGAGUACAGAGACCCAAUCGUCUGAUCUGACAUGUUGGCCUUGAUGCUCUCUUCUUGUUUUAUCAGAGAUGCUUCUGAUGAUGCUGGUGUUGAGCAGUUCUUAAGCAUGCCAAUGGGCACCUGUGAUGCUUGAACAAAAUCAGGCAAUAAGCUCCCGGAACUUGGUGUGGUAAAGUAUGAAUCACCGCCGCUUGCCAUUAGACCAAGAGGGUUCAAAUUGGGGUCUACAUGGUUCAUCCAAAUUGGAACCUGGCUAGAUGAACUUUGGCCAUCAAAUUGAUCUGGCAUAGAAAUUGAAAGGUUCGGGGCAUUGGCAGUGCUGUUGGUCAUGGUCCCGUUGAUCAACUCAUUGCCGAAGUUCAGAUUAGUGUUUGCAAGUGAAGUAAAACGAGCGCCUUCUUCUGUUAGAGCAUCGCAAAAGGCUCUGUGGGUGAUAAAGCUAUCUUUCCUGUUUGAAUUGACAAGGAAAAAAAAUGGGAAGAAUCCACAUCAAAUUGUAUACUUCCAAAAAGAAGCAAGAACAACAAUGUUUGUACAUCGCCCCAUUCGAAACUGGGUGCCACUUUUUGCUGCAAAUCUAAUUUCGAGAAGCCAUUCUCUUGCCAUGCAUAGAUCAUAAAUGCAUACCAGUCAUGUGAAUCUUUCCACCCAGAAAAAGUAAAACAACAGCUAUCCACUGACGAACUGAUCACCCGGUUAAUGCAAAUAGGCCUCGGAUCAACCUAGAAUGUGUUCAAACUGCCAUCUAUAAUUCGGAGUCGUGGCCAGGUUCCCGGGUAAGUUUGAAAGAAUCCCGAAUAUUUCAAAUAGAGAAUCCAAGAAGUGUAUUGAGGAAAAAAGAGAAAAGAAAGGACCUCGAAAAGAGGGUUCCGCAGUCGCAUUUAUACUCUCUAGUCCCACAAAUCUUGCUAUGAGCCUUCCAAUCCGACUGAACCGCAUACUUCUUUGAGCACUUCUCGCACUUCCACUUCUUCUCGCCAUGCUUCCGGCUGUAGUGCUUCUUGAUCCCUGUCAAGUCGCCUAGUGCUCUCGACGGAUCGUGGUGCACACAAGUCUCCUCUGGGCAUAUGUACACUUUCCUUCGGAUCAGCUCUUUGUUUGUCCUCUGCUUGAGCUUCCAGGGAAGAUUGUGUCCUCUCCUGUGAAGCUGCAAAUUCUGAUCUCUCUGGAAGCCCUUGUUGCAUAUCUCACAAAUGAACCGGUUUGUCGCCAUGAGCGAUUUCGGCGAUAGAGCAAUGACUUCAGCAUCUGGGUCUGGUCGAAUCCAAUAAAUUCCACAGUAAACAACAGUUUGUAGAGCGAAAAACAAGCAAACGGAAGGUCAAACGAAGUAAUUCUUUCGGGUACUAUUAAUACUUGCCUGGUGUUCCCGGUAAGCUUCUCUUCUUCUUGGAGGGGUUUGAGCUAGGGUUAGGGUUUGUGAGCGAGCUGGGAUCUUGACGAACAAACCCACUGAUUGUGGAGGGAAGAGAGAGACCAUCUCCGGACAUCAUCUGAUCAGAUGUUAGAUUGCCGAGAAGUGAAAGAGGCUGUUUCCUAAAUUUGGUUGAGAAGGGAAGAUGGACUGAGCAAGAAAGCUCAAACAGAGAUAACCAAUAUCUAAGCAAGAGCAACUACAAAAGCUUGAGCUGAUGCAGAUUUCUAAACUAGAGAGAUUCAAGAACAAAUUCUCGGAUCCGUAUUGUGUAUGUAUCUCACUCUCUGUAAGUGUAACUGGGGACUCGAUCUAAGAAAACAAAGAGAGAAUAUUCUCUCUCUUUCUUUCUCUCUCUUUCUCACCCUCCCUCCCUUAUCUUACACGGCUCCUCUUAGUCGGUCAGCCACAGACUCAGCUGGACCACCCCUCCCUCUCCCCCUUUCUCUCUCUAUAUGUUUCUUUUCCGAAAUCUUCUCUUCCCUAUAUACCAUUUUGAUUCCCAUCGCCUUCUGUAUUUUUCAUUUCUUUAUGCGUUUAACCCUGCGGGUAGUCAAUCACUUUGUAUGCAAGAAACGAAAAGGGAUAGGAUAAUAGGCUUUUCCCCUUUCGUAAUUGUGAGAUCCAGACGGAAAAGAAAGCUGACUUUCGACUUUCACUGCUACUAUUCACCAGGAAAAAAUGAUUACCUUAUUAUACUCUCAUUAUACUCUCUCUCUCUCUCGCUUUCUCUAUGUAGUCCCGUGAGGCUUGACUGAACAGAAAGAGGGGUCCCGCCAGGCUCGGGGUACAGCGGGACUGAGAGAGAGAGAGAGAUUAAAAAAGAGAAAAAAGUUUGAAAAACACAAAAGAGACAAGAGAUGACUGAUACCUCUGCUUGACGUGUCGACGACCUCCUCAACCACAGCCACGUUCCUCUAGAAAACCAGAAGGAAAAGAAAAAAAAUUCCCUCUUGCUUCGGUAAUUUGUACUCCUUCCUGCAUUUUUCGAGUACGUUUUUUAAAUCUUAUGGAGUUAUUUCUCAAGACGCUAAAGAAAGACAUCAUCAAUAUACAAUGAUUUGAAUUCAAUGUAAAAAGAAUGAUUCAAACGACUUUAUUACAAAAUAGAUAGUUGUACGAUUUCUAUUAGCAACAUAACCAACGUAAAACAUUUUUCACACUUGCAAUCGUGAAAGUAAAAUAAGUCCAUGGAGCAUUGCAAGCCAAGUGAAAUAAGGCCUAGCCUCUCACUUGUACAAGUGACUUUGACUAGAAAUAGUUUGUCAAUUAGUGAAAUUUGAAUGAGUGACUUUUUGUUUGUGAGAUAGAAAUUUCUUGAUACCCCGAUUACGCUAACAAUGAGAAGAGAGACUAAUUUGUAUUUUAAUGAGUAAAUGAAAGAAUUUUUGUUGUUAUGUAUGUUAAUAUAUCAAUUUUUUAGUAUUUUUUGUAGCCUUCCUUGGAUAGAGUAUUUUACUAAAUUUAUUUCUCAAUGGUUACCCGACGCAUUCCCGAACUUUCCCGUUACAAAUUACCCAUAAAAGAACAUUCGUGGUCUAAAAUUGACUGCCAUCCUCUAGCAAGGAGAGUUCCGUUAUAAGCAACGUCCUAAGUUUUGUCCUAAUGAAAGUCAACCUCAUGAGCAGAAACUAUGGACAGGAUUACAUGUUCUUGUAUUGACUUGUUUUGAAAAGAUUUAAACGUUAAAUGUCGUCACGUGAACGUUGAUUUGUUUUCAAUUACAUACUCUUAAAUUCACAUGUUUUCAUAGCCGAGCGUGCAGCUUUCUAGGGUUAUCUGCGUCGAGUUUUUCUUUCCUUUCAAUCUGUCAUUGAUUAUAAUCCUGAAAUGAAUAAUGCUUUUCGUGAUUAGAUUAUAUAUUCAAAAAUAAAUAACGAGUGCAAAGAAAAAUUUGAACUGGUGUCCCACAGAAGUACGGCGCUCGAAACAAAGGGAGGUUCCCAUUAUCUAUGUAGCGAAGCAGGAGCGAAUGUUUGGAAUGGAGCGGUUGGAAUUUCCCUAUCGGAGCACAUGCAUGUCGAUUAUUGCCAUGGACAUGAGCGGAGACCACAUACCAAUCGGAAACCCUAAUUCCUUUCUUUAUAUCGACAAAAAAGAUCCAACUUCAACUUGUUGUGGGGAAAAAAACAUUAUGGAAAAUCUCAUCUGGUGGGUGCUGCUUAUCAUAUCAUAUGUAGCGUGGAGUUAUCUCUAUGGGCGUUUGCGUGGAAGAAUAUUGCGUGCUCUCAUUCAUUUUGGAUCCCCAUAUUUGAACUUUAUUACCCCGUUUGAGUUCACAAGAAGAUCUAACCAAAGUGAAGCGUUUAAGGAUUGGAGCAGCGGAAGGGCCAGAACCACGACAGUUUAUUCAACACGAAGUUAUAAGAUGUCGUGCAGAGAGAGAGGGAGAGAGAGGAACGGAUGGCUGGCAUGCGAAGGCGGUGAAGGUCCCGCAACCUUGGAUGGCGAAGGCCCGAAGGCAAUGACACGACGGAGGAGGUGAUGACGUGACAAAGAUGGCUUAGCUCCGAGGAAAAGGAGGAAGCAAAAGGGAAAAAGAAAAGAAAAUUAAAAGACUGAAAAAAAGUGGAAAAGAAGUUUAUACAAAUAUAUAUUGAAAAUUUGUUUGUAGAACAAAUUAAGUGUGUUUCCUUGCUCCACAUAGGAAAUGUGGGAGGAGAUGGGCCACUUAAAAAGUGUGAGAUUUCUUUAGUAUAUCUAAAGAAAAGAUUGAGUGUGCGUUAGACCCCACCAUACUAGCAUACGGGUACGUGAAUAAUUGCGUGAUUAUUAGAUGUACUUAGCAUUUUGCAUGCUUACCGCCCGUGGUUUAAUUAGUACUAACCCAUUUGAUUUUAUUAAGAAUUUUUUGGAAAAUGAAAAUUCUAAAUUUUAUUUCUUAAAAAAUAUUUUAUUUUUUAUUAUUAUGAAUUUUUAUAUUUGUGUCUUUUUAAGAUAACUUUUGAAAAUAAUAUUCGUUCAGUUUGCAAGCUUUUCCUGAAGGGUUUCAUUUGUUCAUUUUUCAACUUCUUCCAAAUGAACACCUUUGUUCAUUUUGCAACUUCAUGAUAUAUUCGUUUACUUUGCAAUUUUUCAUGAAGAAUUGCAUAUGUUCUUUAAGACCGAUUUAUAUAUAUAUAUGUCAGUUUUCCAAAUGAACGAUGAUGAGAUUUUUCGACUUUUCUUCUCAAAGCUACAAUUAUAUUUUUAAUUGUUUCCUAAAGAGACUCUAGAAAAAUACAAGAAUUGCUAUCUAGUAGUAGUAAUCUCGUUUUGAGAUUUUGUUAUAUCCUGACUGGUGACUCUUAGCAACUUUGUGGGGUAAAUAAAUCUUUAAAGAAAGUAAUACAACUCCUCAAAAUCCGACUUGAUUACUUUAUUGAUUCGAAACCAUAAUUUCCAACGAUAUAUUUAUAUAUUCUUUCUAUGUAUAAGGUAAAUUUUCCUCUCCAAUUUGUCCUUCGUGAUAGGACCAUAGACAGCUCAUUUGGUUCCAAUCCAGAUGGGUUCUAUCUUUUCUUUCAUCUUUUUAGGUUUCCUUUCUUCUUCCCCCACCCAAGUCCUAUUCUGGAGAGAGAGAGAGAGAGAGAGAGAUAUGCUGUAGUAGGUUGAGGCUGGCGGUUGUUAGUCAUUGUCGGCGACGGCGGCGGUGGCAGCUCUGGCUUUGAUCGUGGCUUGACGAUGUGUUGAUGUGCGGGCUAAGCCAAUGUGUGUACAUUACAUGAGGGUAAAUUGCAUGUGCCAAUCUACCCCAACAAUUACUCUAGGAUUGUGUUCGGUAGUCUGGUUUGAAUCUGAAUAAAAUAACAAAUUAUCACAUUCGAUAUUUCGUGCGUUCUUUGGCCUAAAUAAACUCAGAUACAUUUGGAUAAAAUACCAAAUGAGAAAUCUGGCCUUGGGGUGUGAUACCUAGACUGGAUAUAAAAUUUUACAAAAUAACAAGAUGAGUGACUCAUCAUAUAUUGCUUUGCCGGUGGCAUCGCAAGGACACUACCAAGAGAUCAUCAUCACUUUUGACCACUGCACGAUCAUUAUCGCUUUCAACCAGGCCAAUCGUCACUCCUAGUUGGCAAUCAUGUUUCAACGAGUGAAGGUGAAAAAGGGUCUAAAGACAAUGUCAUGCUAGGUUUGCAUAGAUCAUCCUUUCCACCCUAAUUACAUAUGCCCUCCACGUCGAGCUCGCCCUUUCAAACGUGACUUGCGAGCUGCCUAUUCACCUAUUGGUUGACGAAGAAUGGCCAGCACACCAUUGCCUUCCCUAAUCGAAAGCUUUACUAUCUUAACAUCGGAAACGACACAUCCCCUGAAUUGACUGUAAGAUGCUCUCGUGGAACUACGUGAUCAUUCAUGAUACACCAAAUCACCGAGGAAGAUUCACUAUAUAUGGAAAGGAAUCGAAGCAACUAGCUAUCGCUGUUCCUUUUGUGAGAAUUGAAUCAUGUUACGCCAUUCCCAUCCGUCGUCGGCUCGCACGAUCACGGGCACACUUGAAUCUCGAACCAUCUCUAGAUGAUAAUUGGGCCCGACCCCGCAUGUGGGGCCUUUAAGUUGGUCUCUUCGAUACUUCGUUCUGUCGGGCCCAAGAAAAAAGUAGAAAGAACAUCAGAUCUGAAAAACAGGAGAUGCGUACGGGCACAUGCUUCACGUAGGUCCCUCCUUUCAUUCAUCGACAAAGAGGUGCUAUUCAGCUCGUGACAUUCAAUUCCAUUUGUCUGAAUCCCCCUCAUCGCUCGACGAAUCCGAAGAAAGAAUCGUGUUAGGCAAAGGUCUGAAUUAUAAUGUGAUCAUCUCGAUUCCUUCCAAAAAUGCUAUGAUUAAGUUUCUUGAACUCACUACAUGUUGCUCUUCCCUCGAAAACUCCUUUCAUCGUCAGCAUGUGUAUGUUCUAAGAGCUUUGAGCAGAUUGGCAAGAUGAUUGCCUCUUUCGCAUGAAUUUCUAUAGCAUCGUUGCAUGGGGGCAGGAGUUGACAUUGGGAUGGGCAUCCUCUCCAGUUGAAAUUAACUAGAACACCCCUAGACUUAUAAAAGAGUAAUCACCACAAAAACCUGAAAACCUAAUCUCUCUUCUCCCUCUCCCCCCUUGCCUCCGCCUAUGCCGUGCUCACCUCACCUUCGUGCCUCGCCGCCGUUGUCAUUUCGCUCCCCACCACCCCGUCAUUUUGCGCCAUGAACUCAUCCACUGCUCUAUGUCUAUGCGUGUCUUUGUUUAUAAAUGAAAAUAAAGAGCUCCUGCGAUGGUCAGGACCGCCAUGAGACGGGUAAGCGACUUUCGAAUCUAAGAUUGCUUGAGGCUUAGCGUGGUGGUGGAUUGUGGAAUCGGGGAAGAAGGGCUACAGGUGAAAAUUAAAGAGGUAAGAAAAUGAAGAAGCAAAGAUUGAAUCCGAGUCAUUCGUGUCAUCCUUUCCAAGAUAAGUUGAAGAUGUCAAUUAACCUCCUGAGGAUCUCAAUCAUUAACAUUACAGGUUCGAUAAUGGUGGUUCUCCCAGUUUUUUGGAAUUUUAUGAAAUUGGAUUGGCAGUGGCGUGCGACCCUUUAUGCAUUUACCUUCUUUAUAUGCAUCACGGCUGGAAACUGGUCCAGACAAUAAUGCAAGCACCACCCAAGGUAGAGAGUUCUUAUCCAUCGCGUGAUGAAUAAAGUUGAGCGUUUAGGUUUUAUAUUCCGUGUCAUUGAGUAAAUCGUUUUUGGCACAUAGAAUCAUUUCAUUUACUCUUAUUACCGAUUGAUCACAAUUCUGAAUAAUUUUUUAGCAGCGGAAAGAUCAAGGGUUUUCAAUAGCAAAUUUGUCCAAAUGCUCCACCCGGAUACAAACUCUUUUAAAGAAUUAAGUCGCCAGAACAUUAAUGCGGAAGUAAAUAAGACAUGAUUAACUAUAUGACUAUGCAAACCUAGAUUAUCUUUCCGAAAGAGAAAAGGACAGGUUUUCCCUCCUAGGAUCAUUUUCAGAAGUCGAUGUCAAUCGACAUGAACUAUGCGACUUAUGAUGUUGAGCGACCUUCUUUUUUUUUUUUUCCAAUUUUUACUUUUUUGAGUUCCUGCUGUGAUGCAGUCAAUCGCAAGUCUCCAGGAACUAAGUCCACCCACAGUCACAUCAACAAUCCCAUACUCCUUCGGGCAGAAAAAAAAUUGAGAAAUGAGCACAGAGUGGACAGCAUCGCAUUGGAUCCUAACGUGAUCUUCCUCCUCCGCAACAUGACACGUAAAUCGAUCGGAACAAGGGGUCGACCAAGUAGCAUGCGAUGCAUGUAACCUUGGAUAUCAUCGCCUUGUAGUUAUCGAAGAUUCCUUUGCAAGUGACCUUCUCUUUCCAAAUCAUGUCUCUCUUAAUGAAAAGAAAAAGUAAGAUGUUUUUUUUUCUCUAUUUUCCCAAGAGAAAGACCACCCUAAUUAUGUAAAUUUGCACCUAUAGAACGUACAAGCGCGACAAAAAAAAAAAAUCGUAUAAGACGUGCGGCACCAAUCUUCACAUGGAAUGGGAGAGGCCUCCUUGAAUGAUUACACUUUAGUAAUUUUACACCUAUAAAAGUAUAUAAGACAUACUUCAUAUUCUAAUGGUCAUCCUUGUGUGGUUACAUUUUAGUAUUUUGUUUUGAAGUCUUGACCUUAUAUAUGAAUCGAGUAGGAUUAUUGCAAAUAAUAUCAAAACAAAAUGCUCUCUCUGGAGCCGUCAAUAGUGUCGAGCUCCUUGCAAGCUAACAAGUCUCUCACAAAUCGGUGGUAGCAACGACAAUAAUAAAGUGGAUAAUAUUAGGCCCAAAUAAGCGACCAAAGAUGGGGAUAGAUUAGUAUUUCAAGAAAACACAAACUAAUUUUGUAGAACCAAUCCCGGCAAAAGUUAUGCUUCUACGAGGAAAGUAAACUAGCAAUAUAAACAACAGAAAUUAAAAAAAUUGAUGGAAAGAAAAAUUGCAAAAGAGAUUCAUAAAGGUUCAGCUUAGGUGUGCUUACUCUUUUCUUCUUGCUAUAGUUGCCCAAUUAGGCCAAAUUCCAGAAGUUAUGCCAGGAAUACGAAUACCGCAUUGUUACAAGUGCAGAAUCUAUUGUCGUGGACAACCCAACUUCUGUCUACAGCAAUACCGCUGUAGACUAAUUAAUUAUUGGAUCCUCAAUUAAUUGUUAUCAGCACAGUAGGUCCUCUCGCACACUUCUUCUAAGAGUGUACAAAGAGUCUCUCGAACACUUUAUCUACCACCUAGGCAAAUGCUUUCACCGUGAGUACAACCACUCCUCUCGUGCGUAAACAAAUUGGUUUGUCACUCUUACUAACUCUUAAGAACGACUUGCAAAUGGGCUUUACAAGCUUACAAAAGAGACGGACUCAAAAGUCUCUCAACAAUGCUCGGUUUCUCUUGUUUUCGUGCUUGUCAAUUGGAUAUCUUCUGGCCGACUUUUCUCCUUUCUAUAGAGGUCCAAUUUCAAACGUUGCAAUUGAAUCUUGUAGAUGUUAUAUCAUCUAAUCUUAUGUAAAAAUCUCAGCAAAAUCCUUAAAAAAACACACGCAGAACCUUGCUUCGAUCUGGAGCAUUAACGAGAUCUCUAUACUAAUGGUAGGUUUUGAUCACACCGUAUCACCGAUUUCCCAGGGAAUUAGUCCAUGAUUCUUGGCAUAUAUGAUCUUGAAAAUCAUAUUUUAUCUGAUUACAUGGAACACUUUGCAAGCCGCAUAAGCCAUGUGCAAUGUUGUGACCUCUUCUAUUAUAAUAAAAAUUUUAUUCUAGCAAAAAGAAAAGAGAAAAGAGAAAUACCUGUCAUCAACCAGUUAAAUUCAGGUCAAUUCCCAUGCAUUCCAAUUCUCAAGUUGGCCAUAUUACCCUCUGUUCAAUCUACAUCUGACUUCGGACCGGUGAAACCAAUGCCCUAUCGUCCAUGGGAAUAUAGACAAUAUAUAUCCUCAUCUCAAUAGAAGUUUCUGCUUAAAACAUUGGCAAAAUACCACGUAAUUUCGUUGCCACCUAAUGCAUGAUUUCAUACAUGUAGAAUAUCCGGUUCAAUCCCGGUCUGAAAGUAUCUCGACUCAGUCAAUUGGCCGAAAUUCUUCCAACACCAGAAAAGAAACAAAUCAAGGAAUAAUACAGGAAAAAUGAAUGAUUUCAUGCAGAUAAAUGCUAAAAACCGUAGUCAUUAGUCUACGUGGAGCGGCGACGCCACGACGUCUGAACACGUCCUAGCUCGAAUCUCCUCCACCCACCUAAGCCGUCACUCUCUUUCUUACUAAGCAAAUCGAGAUCUUAAGCUUGAUCACCGGCCGUGGUGCAUGAAGCUCACGUAGAGGAGGAGCAGGAUGCGGACGAACCGGGGUUGCUGUCUCCAUUGACAUUUCCUAAACGUGCACGUAAACAUUGAUCCGUCCUCUCGUUUCCCGUUUGGUCUCUUCCUGUUUGAUUAUCUGGAACGUUGUCCUCAUCUGCAUGAAAACGAAGGACCCCACGGAGUACGACGCGUUGACGCUGAGCUUUCGCGUUAUAGCUCCCGCUAGCUCAUUCACAGCUAUUCACAAUCGGUAUCAUCGGCGCCUAAUCCGCUUCAUCAUCAUCAAUGAUAAGAAUCUCCGCGGGCUACCACAGUUGGCGACCAGUAGUCUCCAAUGGAUCUUUGGGUGGAUGCUGCGCAGCCGGCGAGAAGUUUUCCAGCUGCUUUCCCUCCUGGCUUCAGGUUUCAUCCCACGGACGAAGAGCUCCUUGUCUAUUACUUGAAGAAUAAGGUGGCCUCACGCCUGGUCCCGGCAGAGUUGAUCGCUGACAUCGAUCUCUAUCAGUACAAUCCAUGGGAGCUACCAAGUCCGUGUGCUGGGAACCUCCAUUUUCUUUGGUUAUUUAUAGCCUUUAGGGCAUUUAUUUUUUGGAACCGAUGUUUUCGCAUUUGCUUCGCAGAGAAGGCAUUUUUUGGGGAAGGCGAGUGGUACUUUUUCAGCCCAAGGAACCGAAAGUACCCGAAUGGAGGGAGGCCGAACAGGGCAGCAGGCUCAGGUUACUGGAAAGCUACUGGGAUUGACAAGCCAAUACUCACAUCCGGCGGGACGAAGAGCAUCGGAGUGAAGAAGGCUUUGGUGUUCCACAUUGGACGGCCUCCGAAGGGGAUGAAGACGGAAUGGAGCAUGGACGAGUACAGGCUGAUCGAUGCCACCGUCCGACCGCCCAGAUCGAAACGGUCAAUGAGAGUAAGUGGGAUAAUUGUGAUUCGAAAUAGGGGGUUUCAUCACUCGUUUGAACUGUACUUCACAAUGCAAUCCGCUCCAAACCCACAAAUCGGGAUGAACUAUCUUUCCCCCGAUCUAAAGACAGUCUCGAUUUGGUGUCGUUGCUGCAUUCUAUGCAGGAACAGAACACCUAGUGUAACUUGUGGUCAGGUCUGAUCGAGGCAGGCAGAAUGCCUGGGCUGUUUGCGAGAUUCCUCGAGUGUCUAGUAUCUAGAUGUGCUGGAGGUAUCAUAUCAGAUAUGGUCGAGUAUAAUGACGCCAUCUCCAACUGUUAAUAAUGGUGCACUAGUUGUCCCUCUACGUUUCUUAGCGAAGUCCCUGUAUUUCUGUAAUCUAAGGUGACAUCGUUACCUUAACUAGCGUGUAAAGAGUCGAAUCUAAAAUAAUCGCCUCUUACUACUGCAGUUGGAUGAUUGGGUACUCUGCAGAGUGAGACAGAAAGAGAAAGUUCCGAGAAACGCUGGCAGCCACCAUGGAGACUUCAGCAGUAGCACAAAGGCAGCACCAUCUUACCCCAAAAAGAAUGGUGAAGCGCUUCCUGUGCACACCGGCCUCUGCAAAGAAGUCGCCAUGGAAAAUCCCUUCCAAGAUUGCUUAGUAAUGGCUUCCCUACUCUCGGGUCAAGUCCACUGUCCCAUGAAUUCAGUCUCUAGUAUAAGCUCUCAAGCGCCCGACAACAACGACACCUUAAGGUCUGUGUAUGAAGAAAGUCCCGACAAACUAAACUCUUAUAGCACAGGUUCUUCCAUGGACAACAAUGUCAACAUAUUUACAACGGAACUUGUAGAGCAAAAAGGGUUCAAGGAUCAGCAGGAAAAAAUGCUGGGUGUGGAUGGUAGUGAUAUCUACAACUACACUCAAAGCCAAUGCAACGAAAACGUAUAUAACUUUGCCAGAUGUGAUUCUAUCCUCAACUUUCAGGGGCUUAAUGACUUAGCCAAGCUCUAAGUUAUGGCAAUGACACGGAAAGAAUGAGAAUUUGUGCUGUUUUUAGUGGUCCUGCAGGAUCUGCAGAAUCCGCUUGACGUGUAUAGAUUUCAGAGUACCAGUUAAAGAAUAAAAUGGACUCAGUCCCAAGAAACACUGCAAGUCUUAAGAGUUUCUGCACUUGGGAGCGGGCUAUAAAUACUCGUUUAUAUGUAUAUUAACUGAAUCACAACUUUUGAUGUCUCAAUGUAUCAUAGGUUCACAAAGUUCACGCCAACAAGUAAGAAAUGCAAUGAUGAACUCUCCUGAAGCAAUUUACAUCAUAAGUUGUAAUCAACCUCGAUGUUAGCUUGUCUUCAUGCUUCUCUUGCAGAAAAAAGUGCUAUCACCAAAGGUGCUACAUAUGCUGUGAACCAAUUCAGCAUAAGUUAACAUGACUGCAUUGCCCGCUUCCUUAGAAAGGACAGACAUCAUAGCCAGUGAUAAAAAUCAGAAUCGCUCUUUCAUAUAGUGGCUUCAACUGAAAAUUUACUGCACAAAAUCCAUAUGCCCCACAGAGUCAGAGGUCUGUUACUUGAAUGGUGAGAUCCUGUAUUUGGUAAACCCAGAAGUUGAAUAUGCAAAAGAUAUGGCAGCGUAUGGUCUUCUGUGACAAAUAUACCACAACUCUAAUUAGUAAGCUUGUCUUCAUAAACAUAUAUUACCAUACGUGUGAGAUCAAACGACCUGCUAUCCUUGUCCUCUUAAAUCAUCUCAGUGCACUGCAAGAGACAAACCCAGAUGUCAAUACAAGAUCCUGAACUUUGUCCCUGUGUGUGUGUGUGUGAGAGAGAGAGAGAGAGAGCGUGAAGCUUACUUAUAUAAAUAAGAAACAAUGCCCAGGAUAACGCAAAGGAGAAUAAUGUCGAUGCAGAAGUUUCGGCUGGAUCUUAUCUUCAUUUAUAAAAGGAAACAUAGCAACUAAUGAGAACAAGGCCUCUCUGUUGACAUGAUAGAAACUAGUAACUAGAAUUGGUCUGUAAGAGAUCAUCAGCAUCAAUCACCUUGAACAGAGUCUCCUUAAGUCUGACAUUCGUAUUUUUAAGAUCAGAUGCUGCUCUGUCCACCUAAAUGGAACGAGAAAGCAAACUCACUAUUUGAGUAGUUCCAAAACAGGAGGUUUAACAUGAAGCAACAAAGUUCUCACCUUAUUAUCGAUUUCAUCCACUAAAGGAACUUGUCUAUCCAACUCCUGAACAUAAAAACAGAAUUAGUCUCUUCAUCGAUUCGUUUUCCCAAAAACCAGUUCCACUAUAUAUAUGUUCAACUAAACAACCUCAUUCAUAUCAUGGGCCAGAUCCUUCAGCGUAUCUAAUCCUUCUGAUAUCACAUCAAGACCUUCAUCCUGUGGAAAGACCGAAACAUCAAAACAAAGAACAAGGGCAGGCCACAGACUUCAAGAUAUCUGUAACUGAUUCGAGAAGAAACUAAGGAAGCAGUCUUACAUGCCUGUUUCAUCUUGCGCAUUUCAUAUUCAUGCCUAAACUGGCUUGCUUCUUCAGUUUGUUGGAAGAAACCAUCCUGUAAAUGUCCAUCUGAACAGGCACGGAAUGAAAGCGACUAUGAGAAACCACUGCGGUAGGUAGCAAUUGGGAUAGAAUAAAUUGCAUCAUGGUCUAACAACCUGAAGAGUCAAACUUGAUGUUCUCACGAGAUGUCGAAGCGGACCAUCCUCCAGAUUGUUUGUGCGGUGCAAUGGUCCCAUCAGGUAUGGCUUGAACCCUUUCUUGUAGUGCAAGAACCAGAUCAUUCCGAGUCAUUUGGUCAUCUUUAGACAGCCCUUUAACCUAAUAUAAGAGUAUUACGAGUACAACUUACGAUUACCACCAAGCUUUAUGCAUGUUGAUGAUGAUCAUACGACAAUAAAUGAACUCCGAAGAAAUUGAAACCCAUAUGCAUUGUCCCUCGAUCACUAUCAUCAUGCCACAAUGCCAGGUAUGAGCACCACAAAGAAAGCUAUUAGAACGGUUGUCCCUUUCAUUUCUAUUUCGUCACCAUUAUUGGGGAGUGACAGAAGGUGUUAUAAGUGCCUAUGUCCUGUCGUUGUGCAUUCUGAUUCAGACAGAUCAGAGGCAUUGUAAAUAAUUUCAAUGUGUUUUCUGCAAGUGAGGACUUGAGCUGACGAACAUCCAAGCAAGCAUGGUCAACGUUUAAUUCACACAGAUAAUAACAAUGUUAUUCUUGCCGCUUUCACUCUGACAUUUGAUAGCUAGAGCUUUUUUACAUGGGAAUUUAUUGAAGAAAGGAUGAUGAAAAGGAAACCAAGCACGUCCCAUGUUAAAUUGCAACAACACUGGACCAAGAGGGAAGUGAACCAACCUAGACAUACAGUCACUAUACGAUCAAACAUUGAGCAUACGGACUUCAUCCAGGCACAUAAGUGUAGACCCUUUUACCAGGUCGGCAUAUGAAACACAAUUUGCUGAACUAUGACCAUAUUGCAGAUUCAGGGCAUAAAACUACAAAUUCACAGUAAUGCUGGAGGCACUAAUAAAUCCUUCUCAUGACUGAUGUCACAAUUCAUGCCAUAAUCCUCUGAUUAGUUCCAUUAACAGUAGGAUCCCAGAAAGAAGUGGGUGGUUUUUUUGUCAAAAUAUCCAAGUAAGUGAUAUGCCUAAUUCUAGAAGAACGCAUUCUCAGUCUCAUCCUCAAGCGCAAAAGCAUUCGUAUAAGCUGCAGGAAGUUACCUUCUUUUGAGCCAACUUGUACAGCUUAGCGAUCUCCUCCAUCAACCGGGCCUUCGUCCUCCGGACCUCUGCGUUCAGUGCCGCCGAGGAAGCCCUGUUCGUCUCCACUGCCGCCCUCUGGGAUUUCUGUCCACAUUGAUAGACGUAAACCGAAAAAUGAAACACCCUUUACUCGACCAACUUGAUCUUUUCCAGACAUAACUGCCACAAAAGCACGCAUUGCCAGCUCGAGUACAAUCGUCCUCAAAGAAUUCUAUGAACAUUUACCAUGCUGAAAAUACGGUUUUCUUAAACAGCGUCGGACGUAAAACUACGCUAACCCAUUCUACGUCUUUCCCGAAAUCAUGUGUCACGUGUCCGGCAGUUCAACAUGUCAAUGUCCAGAUAUCGUCUUUCACGCAAGAGGGUCAGCUCGGACACGACGAAGCGGCGCAUUAAAAGCAAGGAACACACAAUACCUCGAGGGCGGCAUCGAGGUCAGAUUCGACUGCAGAGUAGAGGCGAGCGAAGGCGUCGUCGCCGUGGGCAUUGCGGUCGCGCUGCUUCUCGACGUCAUACUUGUCGAACUUCUUGCAAAUGGCGUCGACCCUGAACCGGAUGUCGAUGACGCUCAUCUUCUUCUCCUUCUUCUUCUGCUUCUUCCCUAAGCUUUGUCCGUGGGAAUGGAGGACAGAAACGCGAAGCCCACGGGUGGCGCGACCUGUGGAAAGCUCUCGCGACGGACGGUGGUGUUUCCAUGGGGUGGCGAAACGAGGGAUCGACCGCGAAGAGCGGGCUGCGGACGGUAAGGAGAGGCCUAACCGCCGCUUUUCUUGGCGGGUUCGGCUCCCAACCGUUCGUUUCAAUUGGCGGUUGUUUUACUUCCAUCAACCCAAAUUAAUUUACCAUUUCAAGGUAAUUAUUUAUGACUAAAAAAGGAGGAAUUAAGAAAUAUAUGGAAAAUAAAGGAGGACGUGUUACUUUGACUGAGAAUUUGAGGAAAAAAGUGAGUUUCUAAAUGAUUUGAUGAGAGCAAAUUUAAAAUUUUUGGGUUCAUAAAGUUGCGAAUUUGAUAGUAUGACAACCACAUAUUAGACGAGAAUCAAAAUAUUUUUAAUGUUUUCUUAACUUAAUAGGGAUAUUACACACAUUUUCUUAAUUUUUUUCAUGUUAAUUUCAAUUUUGCGGUUAUCCUUUAAAGAAAUAAAUGCGUUCCCUAGUUAAAUAGAUUAAUGCGGUGAAAUUGACGAUUUAAAGACGUAACCACGUAUAGAUGAGAGAUGCAACUUUAGAUCCAAAUGUAAAAUGUGAGGAUGUUAGUUGUAAAUUUAAAUGUGACGGGGGCUUAUUGAUAUGGAGAGUGAAGUUUAGGAUGUCAUUUCUUUUAUUGGGAGAGGCUAAUGCUAUUGCCGGGCAAUGAAGCCAAGACCCACAAGAAACACCCUUCGGUCUCUUUCCUCUCUCUCUCGCAUUGAGUCACCAUCUCCUCAUUGAUCCGCCACCAGCCCCGCCGGCCCGCAUACUGCCUUCACCUCGACGGCGACAUCACCGUUCCUUGCCCGAUCAACGCCGGAUCAUGGCCAUAGAAGCCACCGCUGCUCGUGUCUCUCUUUAGUCAUGCCGUCAAGGCACGGUCCGGGCCAACCACCAUCGUCAAUCUCUACUUCGAAGCUGAUCGUGGUAGUCAAAGCUGGGGUGACCUAAAAUCUACUGGCAAUAAACGAUGUUGAGCAUGUUUAUUAACAUAUUGAGUAUUAUACGCAGUACUCUUCCCAGAUAAUUAUGUUUAGUGCACAUGAACAUAAAUUAUGUGAAAUGUACUAAGAAAGUGGAUCACAUUUUAUGAAAGUGAAAUUAUGCUUUGUCAAAGAUGAUACUACACCUUCCAAGUACAAACGAAACUCCUUUGCUAAAAGAAGAGAUCUGGGAUGCGACACAAGUUUAAGACAACUUUUUCUCUUUUGGAUAAUCAAGGGGCACGAAAGUGAAGACCUAAUUAUUAAAGGCCCAUGAAACAUCAUGCAAACCUUUUAACUAGAAAUGUGUUAUUUUUAGAUUAAGUUAAGAGCUAUCAAAUCAAACUAAGUUUAAUGAAAUUUCACUGUAAAACAAAUUGUCAAAAAGAUUUAGAACAAAAUUGGAUAAAUUGAAAUGUUUAUGAUUGAAUUGUUAUAUGUAUAACAAGUUCUGGACUUUCUAAAUAAUAUUCCCAAUCUUUGAAAAAACAUGGCAUAUUACAACACAAUAUAUGAGAAUAUAGCUUAGAUUUUGACUCAAAGUUUAACAAAUUUUGAUUCACAUUCAUGGUGUUUGUAUAAACACGUAUUACAUAAAUUUCGUGCUUGAUGAACUUCUAUAUGAGGUGCAAUUUGCUAUAAAUUCUUGAUGUGGAAUUGUUAAAGUGCUUCCAUAGCAACUGCAAAUGGCACCAGAAUUGUAUAUAUUUAUCCUAUGUCAAUUUGGCAUCUUUCAAGUCGUCUAUUACUUCCGAAAUUUACCAAAUAAAAAAGCUGUGAUUUUUUUUUUCAUUUUUUAGCAAGCUUCAUCCGAUAUGUUACUUAUCAGGAUAAACAAGAUAGUGGCUGAUUUUUUUUUUUUUUUAAUGAUGUACCAAAUAUUAUAAUUUAAAAAAAAAUAAAAGAAUUAGAUUGCGGUCAAUGUCUAUCCACUCGUCUCUCUAGUACAGAUUUGUAUUUCCACUCAUCUCACUUAUUCAGAUGAGAAUUUAUAUAACAGGGGCGAAUAUCAUUAGAAAUGCCCAAGAUACCUACGAAUUCAGAAUUAGAUGGAUUGCAUUGGUCAUCAAUCUAAUUCUCAAAUCACAAUUCAUGAGUUUAUUACCUCAUAUGUAUUACCAGCUAUACAAUUUAUUAUAUCAAGUGCUUAUUUAUAUUUUCAUAUCUUAUCAAUGAUUAUAAUUAGAUAAAAAUCAAGCACAUAAGAUGUGAUUAUAUAAUACAAAUAUGCAAUUACGUUAAUUAUCACUUCGAUUGCCACUUAUUAGUGUAAUUACCCAUAUAUAUUACUGAGAUACUACGAUUUAGUAUAUUAAAUUAAUCUAUUAAUUAACACUCAAUUGAUCAUCAUGAUCUAAAUUUAAACAUGUCACUGGAAUUAUCAAAGUGAAUACCAAGUACUAAAUAAUUAAUAGUACGAUUGAACUAAUAAUUAUGUAACAAGUUGAGCAUUGAUUAAUAUAAUUGGCAAUCAAGAUAACAAUCACAUCGUGAAUAAUGCGAUACUUAAUCAUGAAAAUUCACAUCAUAAUAGUAAGCAAGUAAUAUAAUGCAAGUCAUUAUAUUCCAAUUGCUCUAAUUAAAGAAACAUGUAAUCUCAUGAUAACAUAAUCGUUCUAACAUCAAUUAAUUACUUAUUAUUGAAUUCUUUUAUUUACUAAUCAUAUAUUACAUGAUUAUGUCGAAUUAAUAACAAUAAUAAUAAAGCGGUGUCAUCAGUGAUUCAUUAAGUAAUUAACAUAAUGAAACCUGUCUACAAUUAAAGUAAGUUUUCAUCAUAAUAUAUCAUCUAUUAUUGGUAAAAGGGGCAGAACAAAAUGUGAUGGAAAUCCCACUCGUUUAGCAGAAGAAAAUGCACGAGCGUCAGCUAUGAUGAGAGACCAACUUGAAGAAACUGAAGCGAUGAUCAAUUUGCUCUGCUCCCCAGCAGCGACACCAAUAAAGUUUCAAGAAAAACCCAUUUCAGGAGGAGGGAAGAAAGCAUGAAAACAUCAUCCGCAGAUUAGAAAAAGUAAAAAAAAAUUCAGUCUUUACGGUUAAGCUCGAAAAAGCUUGCGAUGGAAAAAGAAAAUUGCAGAAAAGAGCCAUCGAAAGGACGUGAUGCGGUGCGUUGCUGAUAUGGUCUGGCGUUCCGAACCCCACAUUAGUUUAACGCCAAAAAUGGGAUUUUGCUCCUCCCUGAAGCUUAUCCAUCGAAAACGAAACGACAAAGUCAAAAAAGUUCCUUUUCCGGUCCGCGCUUUCCAAACGGCGUAUCAGAUCAGGAACGGAGUGUAGCAAUUUGCCCACUUUUGCGACAUCAGAUCAGGAGCAGAGUAUGGCAAUUUGUCUACAUCGCAUUCGAUGGAAACGUGACGAAGGAAAAGAGCAAUUGAACCAAAUCACUCGUUGCCGGGAUUGAUUACACUAAGAAAAAGACCCCCUCUUUUUUCAUCAAACACCAAACAGAUCAGCUCAAAGCGACUCGGAAACACCAAAGUUCUACCGCAAAGUUUUCUACAGUAAGAGAACAGAGAACAGAGAACAGACAAAACCGCGCUCGUGUCAUUCAGUCAACAGCAGGCCCCCAGUCAGUGUCAUCAUGGACCUCGCUAAACAUGUCGAUCGAAUUCCGGAUUACGCUAAUCAGGGUUAAGAGGGCGGCGAUCGUGACCUGGAGGGGCGGGGAUCAGGCGCCGGGGCCGGACUUGUAGCGGUAGAGCUUGCCGAAGACGUGGAGGGCGGUGACGAAGCCGAUGAAGCAGAGGCUCAUGACGAGCACCACCGUCGGCGAGAUCUUGAGCCCCGGGGCGUCGUCGGUGUAGAACCGCAGCAUGUUGGUCCCCCCGCCGCCGCCGCCGCCGCUCAGGCCUCCGGAGCCGCCCCCCGCAGCAGCGCCGCCGCCUCCACCACCGAGCCUCCGUCGGCGCAUGCCGGCGGCCGCGGCGGCGGAGCCGCGGGGGGCCAUCAUGCCGGGGCGGGAGGUGACGGAGGACGCCGACUGGGACUGGGACGAGCCUCUAGCCAUGGAUGCCGCGAUCGAGAUCGAGAUCGAGAUCGAGAGAGAGGGAGAGAAGGGUUGGAUUGGAUGCGCGAGAUUUGAUGAGCCGUCGAGGUGGUUGCGACUUUGUCGACGAGAGAGUGACCGACAGACAGAGCGAAACGAGGUUUAGGGCGGACGGUGAUAAAUGAGGUCAGCGGGGGGCAACUUGGGCAUUUUAUAAUGAGCUUUUUUGUUAAUCCAUCUUGUUGAUACACAUCAUCACUUCAUUUAUGAGAUAAGAACAGGAUAAUUACAAACGUGCGAGUCCUCGAAAAGAUUUCUUUGUUCCAUUAACUUUCCAUAAUUAAUAGUAAAUGCUCCACGCCCAAGUUUGAAGCCAGUAAUUUCAAGAAAAUGGCACAAAUGAAAUCGAGGAUGAGUGACUGAAAGUCCCUUUUAAAGAAUCAAGUUCGUAAUGUAUAUUGUAAUUGCAUAUGUAUAGUUGUAACUACAUGCACCUAAUUGCUAAAUCAUAGGGCAUGCGACAUUUCUAAAUAUGCAAUAAAAUAUGCGGAAGAAAAACAUCAUUCAUCAAAUAGAUUGAAAUGCUUUAAAUGCAAGGUGGUCGGCUAAAUGUGUUAAAAUCUUUUGUCCAUAGGGUCGAAAUUAUUUUCUCUCCUUUAUUAAAAUUUGUUUCAUGCACGCUGAUGAAAGCCCAAUAAUUAGAAGUUAAUCAGCAUGUACAUUGGAAAAUACUUUCCAUUUCGCAAGUACUUCUUUCUCCCCUCUAGGAAUGCGGGUACGAGACCUUCCAACACGUACUUAAUGCCAUAAAUAAACAUACAAAUAUGUAUAUCAUGGCCUAAAGAUUUCAUUCUUUUCCGGUAAACUAAAUUAAAUUUCAGAUCUUCAACGUUAUCUUUAAGCAUUAGAAAGGUAAAUGCGUACUUAAACUAGAGCUAUGAAAUUAACCGGCAAGAAGACUAUGCAUACAGCGAUAGUUUUCCUGUACAGCAUUAUGACGAAAGGGAUGCAAGCAGAAACAAAGCCAAGUCAAAUUAGCUCAGGAAAGGCGUUAGACCAGAGGAAACAAUGAAAAUCCGGACAGAUCAUUGAUCAGAUCUCUUCCCAACUAUAUAUUAGCUGCACUGCAUCUCGUCGGCUCGGGCUGGGGCGAAGGUGCUGAGGGCGGAGCUUGGCGGGGGCACUCGGGGGCAUCGAUCUGGUACACGUAGUGGGAGACUGUUGCCGACGCAAUGAUGACGCCCAGACAGACGAGUGCGUAGCAAUGUCGGACCAGUUUCCCCAGCAACGCCGGCACCAGCGGAGCCUCCAUUCGUGCGUCUCUCUCCUUCCGUCGUUCUCCCCGUUACGAACUGUAACUCGACGGGCCGAGGUGACUGAGCUUCUGGUGCUGCGGUGCGGACAUGCUUGUUUAUAUGCGACGACGGCGGAAAAGUUAGAACGGACUUUUAUCCGCACGAACUUCGAGGGACGAAACAGUGGGCACCGUCGGUAAGGCAGUCCUUUUCCCAAGGCGCUGGGUCGGGCCUGCUGCUCGCAUUGCCUGUCACUGUCAGUUUGCGAUCCUUCUUAUCUAGCAGAAAGCGACCGUCGGUCUGCUGCUAUUCCGGUUCUCCAUCUUGAGAAAACACUGACGACAAAAUGCAAUCGAUUUGGAAUCGUCAAGAUCGAUAGGGGUGGUGCUCUCCAAAGUCCAACCAGGUUCCCCUAUAACUUUUGCACUUGACCUAAUCUACACAAUGAAAUGGCAAAAUGUAACGACCUGAUCCGAUGAGAAUGGGGGAGUGAUUGUUGAGAUUAGAGGAUUUAGAUAAGGAACAGCUCUAGCUGACAAGUUUUUAAGAUGACGAAAUGGGUAAGAAUGAACCGAAUUAUACCAAACAAGGAAGAGGGAUUUUGAGAUACAUAUGUGAAAAUUGGAAGUAAUUCAUGAGUGUGCAUUUUGAUGUAAUGGCAAAUUUUGCUUUAGAAUUUGAAAGUUAAUUGAGCAAGAGCUAAAGCACUAUCAGGAUGUGUCCUAGUGCCCGCCUGUACAUCAAAAGACAAAAUCGUAAAGCUCGCUUUGUAUGGGACUAGUUAAAUUGGACAAUAUUUCGAGGGAAUUAAUUUAAGAACGUCACAAAAAGUCUUUCUUGACCCCAAGAAAAUUUAAAGGAAGAAGACCGAGGAUCGAUCAUUGUGCAGAAAGGCAGAAGACAGGUGCUCUGCUAACUGAUGCUAAGUUGAAAUGAUUUGAUGGAGUAAUUGAUCAAUCGACGAAAAAAAGAACAUCACAGUAGCAUUAUGUGUGCGAAUAGCUUAUUUCUCUUCUUCUGUAGCAUCAGCAAGCGGAGCCCAAUGAAUCUUAGCUCCGGCCAGGAAGUGUUGUAAAAAUAAAAAUAAAAUGAAAGAAGGUCUAAGAAGUACAGUGAUAGCAACUGCUACUUUAUUACUCAAGUUUAGUUUGUUUGCCUAUAUUUCACCAAUUUACAAGCCUGAAUUUUAAGGUACGAACGGUAAACUCUGAUCCUCGUGUCUUAGUAACCUGUUGUUAUCUGUCGAUCCUUGAAGAUUCACCAAGCUAUGACCUCCGAUUCGAAUUAGUUAGCCCGAGUCUUCACUCGCGAAUCUCGACUUGAUCCAUCACCAGCUACUUUGGUGGUCAAAAUUUGUACCAUUUAUACCUGGAAAACUCCCUCAACUAGCCCCGCUUUUAGUCUCAAAUGAAAAGUCUUUCGGAACGAUGUCUAUCUCUAUCUCGUGCUGCACCCGCGAUGUUGGCUGAGGAAUGGAAGCCAAUUGGACUGCUCUUUCACGGUCGACCGCACCUUGUUCCGUGUUGGGAUUAUUGUGGAAAGAUGAGCCUUCGCCCUGGUGGAGAUGGGUCGGGGACGGAGAUUCGUUGUCGUGCUGAUCCACAUCGAAGUUGGAUAGCCUCGGGGACGUGUGCAUGCUGUCCAUUUCGCUGCGGUAGUGGCGCAAGAGGUGCACCGGGGACAUGUGAUGCGAAGGCGUGGCCGGCCUGCUGGACAUGGGCGUCACGGAGCCUUUGUUUUGCUUGAUGUGCUUCUUGGCACUAUGAUGCCAGUUCCGCAAGGCCGUGGCAACUCUCUCGUUGAAUAUGGUAGGCUUCAUCGUCGACCCCAUCUGUUUCAAUCCAAGCAUUGGUAAAUUUAAACCUACGACUCCAAAAUUUUCGACCCGAAAACUGCGAGAUCAAAAAUGCCGUUCCGUUACCUGCGUCACGAGGGCAUAUAGAGGAAGCGUGACAUAGCUGCACAGAAUCUGAAUGAGGACCCUGAAAUUAAUAAGGAGAAGAUCACCAGCUGGGUUAGUCUUGCCAAGAACAAGAACGUGAGUAAAAUCAAGAUCCCAGGACUUUCUGUGAUGAUGAUGUUACUAACCCCAUUGAGAUUCUGAUUAUUCUAUCUUCCGUGUGCUCAUGAAAGCAAGAUUUUAUUCCGAAUUCAUACUGAAAAGAUGGAAAGGAGUCGCGUUAAUUCGAUCGGAGAGGCUAACUGAACAGCGAAAUUCUUGGCCCAUCUGUAACUCGUAUUGAAGAAGAAUCAGAAAUGUUCUUACCGAAGUCCAAACAAAGAAGGCAAGCUGAAAAGCAUUCUGCAGAUAAUGAAGGUUGAGAGACAGUGAGAUUUUCUAAGUCCAGCUUCAGAGAAAAUAACCGGGAUCGCCGUGCACACACGCACGCGCCAGUAAGAUACUCACGACGUUACCUGAAAGAGAACGAAAUUGAUGAGGUAGAGGAUGAGGCGUGGCCGGUUGAACCAGAAGAGGUCGUCGCCGGGUUCGACGACCGGCACGCCCUUCACGACCUGCCCCCUCUCUUGGAUCCGGAGCCCCAUUUUGGUUAUGAUCACCUGCAGCUUGGUCCCGACCAGAAGUAUGAUCUGCAGGUCCAACCAUCGACCGCUCAAUUUCACUAACGAAGCACAAAGACAUUGCCUUUUCGGUAUCAAUACCAAAGUCAGAACUUACAAUCAGUGGGAUGAAGGGGAGCCACAGAUAAGAAUACCAGCCUGAUCGUGGCAAAAGAAAGCAUAGUUAGAAUCAGUGCAACAUCCGGGCACGCGGCAUCGAUAAAUUGGCAAUUUCUUUGUGAUCAUCAAAAAUUUCCGUACCGUGGGUAUUGAAGAGCAGGAACAGAACUGCGAAAAACCAUAUCGGAGGGCUGAAGAUCGAAAAAGGCAACAUGACUGGUCAGUCGAGUAGUGUAUAGGACGUUCAAGGCAGAAUUAGACGAUAGAAGGGGUAAUUCACUAGUAGCCAAAAGAUUUCCAGCACCAACCUGAUCCCUACGACCACCUUGAAGUCCUCUUCUAGAGAUCUCUUUAUGUAUUUCUGAAAAUCGAACUUCACGUGGCUUUGGGGAGCCAAAUGUGCCUGAAAAAGGGAAUUAAUUAAUACAUGCAAUUAAUAAAUUUUAAUUCAAUAUGCAAUGUGAUCCCUAAAUUUUUUAUAUAUAUUUAACUUAUUCUCGAACUAUGUUCAAUUAUCAAUGUUAUCAUUCAAUUAAUUCAAGUUCGGGAAUAUUAUAUAACGUAACCCGUUUGAACUAAUCAUUUAAUUAACCAUAAUUUAGAAUGUGUGCACUCAAAUACAAUAAAUUAAUUAGAGAUAGAAUUAAAACAAAAGAAAAAAAGGACUUACCGUGAUAAAGCCGUGUCUCAAAGUCAAGUAAUCUACUUUUGGAACAGAUCUCACGAAUUGUCUGAAGAAACAAACCUGCCAAAAAUAUUAUAUGAGUAACGAAUAAACAAAUUAAAUAAAUUAUGGAUAAGUCUGGAUGACGAGUUCUCAUCUAUAUGAACUCGAACGUCCUCCUUCAGAAAACGCCAAAAGUUUUAAGAGUAAAUUGAAAUUAGAAUUCAAGAAAAGGCCAAAAACACAUUCAACGAUGAAGAGAACAAGUGGCCGAUGAGGAAGUCAAACCUUUUGAAAUGGUCUGAACGUCAUUAAAGUGGGGCCAUAUAUUGGGAAGUACGUGUCAAAUGCAUGAGUUGGAAUACGAAGACCGUUGUUUAGCCCUUUCAUAUAUAUUUCAUUAUCAACGGUAUGCGAAAUAAUUAAAAUAAAAGGAAGAAAUGAAAUGGAAAUUUUCUACAUCGUCGAAGUCAACAUGGGCCUUGAAGGUCGGAUCUAUUUUAUUUUUCUUAGAUUAAAUGCUACCGAAAAUUUCAUAUUUAAUACACCCAUAACAUGUUUACCCAAAACUAUUUUCCGUGUUCUAGAGAAACAUCAAAUUAGUACGCCUGCCCUGUAUUCACUUUAAAUUGAAUUUCAUGUCACAAAAAAUCUCAAAUCGGUACUUGCAUACUACAUUUAACCCGAAUUAAUUUUGGGGUCACAAAAAAUCUUAAUGGCAUGGCUAAAAUAUGAAUUGAGAUUGAGAAUUAGGGCAAAAUUAAUUAAGCUUUGAGAUUUUUAUUUUGUGGCUUGUGCAUUUCAUUUUGAGUUUUUUGGUGAUAUGAAAAUUAGUUGAAAGCAUAAGCGAAAAAGGUGUAAUGGUUUGAAAUUUUUAUGAUAUUAACCCAUUUCUUCUUUUUUCUUUUCAUAUGAGUAUUUUGUUCCCCAAUGAUUAUGUCUUGCUUGAUUAUAACGUACGGUUAUCUAUCAUCUAAAAUUUCCAACCGUCUUUAAGGGAUAAGGGCUACGUGUUGUGCCUAUUUCUAGAACGAUUUUGAAAUCAAUUCCGUUUGGAAAGGUAAAAAGAGGAAAAUAAAAAAUAAAAACUAAAGAGGAGCUGGCGCUUACGAUCCACAUGAGGACCGGGGUCUUGGUCCAGAAGCUCAUGUGCCUUCGCCCGAACGACGUCUCCCUCGCGAACCUGAACCUCUCCGGAUCUGCGUCCAUACAUGCAAAUCAACGCAACGUGUUAUACGUGCAUGCACACAUGUCGUUCGACGGCUAUAACGAAAGGAAGAAGAAAGAUGUCGCAUGACGUGGCGGACCGGACCGAACCGAUCGCCACCCGUAUUGCGACGAGCCAAUGGGCGUUCGACACGUUUGCUAAGCGAUGGAUGAGUGGACUGACCGUGCGAGAACUGGUACUCGGUGGUCCGGGUCUCCUUCUCCCACGCCUUCCAGCUCCUCAUCUGUGACCAGAAGAAGUCAUUAGAGAGAGAUUUUCGAUCUCGUCAAGGUUCCGAGAUGGCGACAGGAGCGCGUCCUGAAUGUACGAGGAAACCGGGGAGGCGCGGCGUAGGGGGUUGCGCGACGUACCUUGGCUCGGCCGAGGGCCAUGGUGAGAAUGCAGUAGAGGAUGUGGAAGACGGCCAGGACGAAGAUGAAGAUGUGGAGCUGAUGGAUCCCGUCCGCCGAUACGAACGGCACUUUGCCCUGAGGAUUCAAAAUCAUCGUACUUCAAUACCAUAUUUAAAAAAAAAAAAAAAUCAUUGUAAAAAUCUGUAAAGUUCACCGAUUUCGAAUUAAGCUUAAGACGAUCGAGUCUGUUCGGCGACGCGAUUCGUGGGCAUUUUCGACAAUUCAUUUUAAGAACACGCGUCUUCAGACCUAUGAUGUGGAUAAGCUCCAUAUUCCUUGGUCAAAAUAAGUUUUUCUUUGGGAUAUACACAAACAUAUAAAUAGCUUAGAAAAAUGCAUCUCCACGAUUCUUGAGAUGAGAAGUUGCGGAGAAAACUCUCAAAAAAUCUAUUGUACGAAAAUUUAAUCAGUUUUAAACUUUUAAAAAUUUAUCAAUAUAGUUUCCAACAAAAUAUUUUAAUAAUAAAUUUAGGAAAAUUGACAAAUUUUCAAAAAUUUUAAGACUAAAUUGACAAAAAAAAAUUACAACUAAAUUGACAAAACAUCAAGAGAUUUAGAACUAUAUUGACACAAUUAAAAGGUUUAUGAUUACAUUUAAGACUUUUUGGACAAUUAUUUCAGAAUUUGUGAUACAAAAAAGAAAUUAUUAUUAAGAGAAAGAGUCAGCUUUUGUCUCGAGGAGACCUGUAAGCAAAGCACAUGCAUUGCAUGCUGACGUCACCAAUGGACACAGCCUGGAAUCCAAUGAUUGACCCAGAAGGAUGUUUCGGUUCGAAUCAUCUCAUGAAAUUAUGGGUUUCUCUCGGUACGUUAAAAAAAAUGAAUUUCGUUGGCUGAACAAUAGAAAAUCAUUUGCAAAUUUUAAAUUAUAUUCGCGAGGUGAUGAAAAUGACAUCGUAUCACCUUCGGGAGUAAAAUCCUUGACUAAUAUAUCGAGUUGAUACGAGGAAAGCGUGUUCCUGAGAUCGAAUUCGCCAAAAUUUGUCCGGUAUAUAACUACUUGAUGUAAGUUUCUGGAUUGGGUUUACCUUAGCUGCGCAUUUAUCGUAGGUGGCACCGGCGAGAACUCGGCGCACGCCGCCGCCGGGGAAGUCGGAGAGAGCGAGCAGUUUACGGUCUUUGGAUUUGUCAUCGGGCGGCCCUUGGGACUUGUUCUUCAUUUGCUCAUGGGACUUGCCGCAUGGAUGCCACGUGGCGGCCACCUCCGACGAGAUGCAUAUGUUCGAUAUCAGACCUUGCCCCACCGUGAGCAGCAGCGAUAUGAACCCCAGAAGCAUAAGCUCUACAACCACAAAAAGUACAAAAAUAAAUAAAAAUAAAUAAAACACACAAAAGAAAAUUUUGAAAGUUAACAUUAAUUUUAAAUUUAAUUUAGAGGGGAAACAAAAUAAAAAAUAAUUAAAAAAUUGAGGAACGAGUUUGCCAUCCGAUCCGGUGCAAGUGGAUCGGAUAGUUUGCAUGCCUAAGGGAAAAAUGUUGGGCAAAAUGAAAUUUGAUGAAUAUCGGGAUGCGCGAUCGACAUUAACCCUUUCUCUUACAUAUUUCAUAUUUGUUGGUGUCGAUGUAAGUAGAGAUUAAUAUUUCGUUAGAAAAAAUAAUAUAAAAUAGAAAAAAAAAAGUUUGGUUCCUCCAAGGGUUCGUGGAUUUUGAACAGAUAAUGUGGAGGGAACAAUUUGUAGGUUGGGUACGGUGGGAAUUUUGUUUUUUUUUUUUUUUUUGGGCAAUAUAAAUUUUUCACGAUUCCCUCGUUCCCCCCCCCCCCCCCCCCCGACCGCCCACAAAAAAAGAAAAGAAAAGUGGGUGAUUGAAUUGAAAUUCACCUGAUUUGAUCUUCUCGAGUGCCUCAUAAAGAGCUGUCUUGUGCUUCUUCUUCAACCACUGCCAAGAAACAAGCCAAAGGGUUUCAUUUAUUUCAUCACUAUGAAUUUCAUCAAACACCUUGGAAGGGAGUAUGAUACCGCGCACGCAAUGCGUACUUAUAGCGAAUCCUUCUUCCUUUGGGAUGUGACGUGAGAUGGCGGCGAUGGAAGAAGGGAACGAACCUGUCCGAUGAGGUGGAUGAUGUGCUCGAUGAUGAUGGAGACCAGAACGAGGACGAAGCAGACCACGGCGACCGCCCACGUCGGCGUCUGCUCCAGCGAUCUCCCUCCGCUGUCCCCUGCCAUUCCUUUCUCCCUCCUUUCUCCUCCCUCUUGGCUACAGAAACACGUUCGUCGAUCUAGAUACCUUAGCAGAAAAGCUACUGAGGCACGCUCUGGGAAUUCCCUCACGCAGAGGUCGAAGAAGCCUCAACGAACAUACAAAGAGAGAGAGAGAGAGAGAGAGAGAGAGAGAGAGAGAGAGAGUGGUGGUAACUGGUAAGGUACAGAAUGGAGAGGAGGGUGUAUGGAUGGAUGGAGUGCGAGGACCGUCGAGGGUUUUAUAUGCAGUUAGGGUUCGGGGAAAGACGGGAGGGGGAAUGCGAAGAAGACGACUUUUGACUCUGUACGCGUCAUAUUCGGUAGAGAGAGAGAGAGAGAGAGAGAAAGAGAUGUUGACUUGAUCGGAAUAUAAUAAAAGUGCAAAAAGAAGAAGCCAGAAGAGUGCAUAUUUUUGACUGCUCGAGAUGAGUCAUCGUCGGAUAAUUCAGGCGGGCGAGUCAACCCGUCGCCCUCCCUCAACGACGUCCACAAGAUCGUCCCUUCCCUUUGCCGAAAACGUAACGGAGAACGGCAUCUCCUGGUCGGAGUCGCUCCCCGGAAAUUCACACCUAAUUGCUUCCUCCCCGAAGUACUCCAAAACUUACGAGACUAAUGCAUUUCGAACGCGGUUCGCACGCGCAAAAAUGGAUCAUUUUUUUUCUGGACGCGGCCAACGAGAUUAUAGUAUCAAUCCACACAAGGGAUAGGACGCGGCCAACAAGAUUAUUGCAUGGUCUGUCCCAAUUUUAGAAAAGUGUAAGAGAAUUAGACAUUGAUUCACGCGCCAUUAUUUAUGUACCGCGAAAGUUUCCAAUGUUUCGGGACGGAGAAAGUUCAAGCGCGUAAGCCACGAUAUUUACAUAGACUAAAAAAGGAUAACGACACAUAAUAAAGUGAACUUUUACUAUAUAUGCAAUAUGAUUCAUAAACUUUAAUUAUGUUCUAUGUGGUCCCAAACCUUAGAUCAAUAUGCAAUAUCAUCUCUAAAUUCUAAUUUGUUCCAUGUACGUGUUUAAUAAAGUCCCUUGACUAUGAAAUGUUUAAUGUUGUUUUUUUUUAUCAAGUCAAGUUUAACGAACAAAUUUAUCACAACUAUAUCAAUUUAGGGUUUUAUGUAGUCAAAAAAUCAAUUUGAGAUAAAUUUGUUACAGUUAUACCAAUUUGAGAUUCUUCACGAGAUUUUUUUAUUUUAUUUUAUUUUUAUUUUUAUUUUUUGUAGUUGAUAAUGAUUUGCACUAGUCCAUAAGUGUUUUUUUUUUAUCCUACUAUUUAUGGCUAUUCAAAAUUGGUGACUUUUAACUAAUAAAGUGGGGCCUAAGGAAUAAAUUUUAUAUUAAAAUAUAGGGAAGCCCCUUCUUCCUGGCCACUUAAUCAGGAGUCUUGACUGACUAAUUGGGAGUUGGCCUGCGAUAAUUGUCCAUUUCUCUCCUUGACGAUUAUUAUAUGUUUUGUCUUUUUGUGUGGUAUUCUGAUUCUCCUGACCUGACCCGGUCUUGGUCCGACAAUAAGAACUCAAUACGGCAGAUGAGUGCCUUUUUGCGCGUAAGAAAUUUGCCUUCGAUCCUAAUUAUUCUUCACAUGGGUUUGAAUUAUGUUUAAAGUUCCUUUACCGACUCUUGUAAUAAAAUUUGCGUACCGAAUCUCCUCCCUUAAUAAAGGGAGAUGCGAAUAGCACUGCACAUAAUGAUAGAAUAAUUAUCGACCCAAAAAAAAAAAGAUGGUAGAAUUUUUAAUUUGGCUUGUUCCACGGGAGAAUUCGGCCUGAGGAAUAGACUACUCAUGCGAUCCAUAUCACUACCUAAUCUCGCAACACUAUAAAAGACGAUUUAAUGUUUUGUUUAGGGUAAUAUAGAUAAGCCCCACGUGGCACAUGUACAUGUAGAGAGACAUAACUUAGAAUAGGAAAACUGACGUUUUUAUUCUUCCAAAGUGAGUAUGCGACUUGGCCAUUUCAAAGGUCGGUGAAACCUUAUGUAUAGACACACACACACAUAUAUGAUACCAUUUUCACUGCAAACGUAGAGGUCUAUAAAUUAAUCACAUCACCUAUAGUUUAGGUUUAUUCUUUAUAUCGUUCUUCAUAUUCCACCGGCACCUAUGGAUAUAUACAAAUAUGUAUUAGAUGAGCUGGUUAUGUGAAUAUACUCUAUCUACUUACCACUCUGUGGAUCUUAUGAACCAAAAAAAUUUCUAAAAGUUGAAGAUUUAUGAAACCGAUUUAUGGUGCCUGGAGAUUAAAAGGUGAUCCCUUAUAUGAGGCUAAGGUAGUCGUAUGUUAAUGGGAUAACAUACUUAUGUCAGGCAUUCGUUAAUUGAUUUAUAGCCACUUCAUGGUAUAAACCAGGGUCAACGAGUUUAAGCUACUAGUAUUGUUCUAAGCCGAUAACACACCAGUAUACCCACGACAAGGAAGCCAUUCAUGAUGUCCGAAAUGAACCUUAUAGAUAACACUUCAGUACAUAUUUUUUCAUGUCUUCCUAAAUCCUUUCCCUCCCCUUCUUAAUAUUUGGGGUCAUCUAAAGUUUAAGAAUGAUCCCGUUAGCUUGAUAAGAUGAGUCGAUCCAAUAAAUUAGAAAAUUUCUAAAACCUGAAAAUUUAUGAAAUCAAUUCAUGGUAUCAAUAGUUUAAAAAGCAGUAUGCUGAGGCGGCCAUGUGUUUAUAGGAUAACAUGCUUGUCUUAGGCAUUCAUGGAUCUGUAAUUUCAUACGUAGACCACACUCUAUAAAUCAAUAUCAUCGUAGUCAUCAAUAAUGUGAGAUUCAAUGUGGAGCCUACAUAUUCAAUGAUGGCAAUGAUCUUUACCAACUAAGUUCAUAUAACAUUUUACCUUUUUUUUUUAUAUGAUGAUGUAUCUCGUGAUUUUAACACCAGUCCGUUUUAUUUAUUUUGCGUCGCACCCAAUCAAAUCUCAAACCUAGCCAUCUCUCCUAUCUUUCUGCUUUGUUGCCGACCACUUCGCCACUAGCAGAUUCACCAUCGCCACCUCUAGACUAGCGCUAUUGCCACCACACUAUCCACCAGCCGCGUCUCAACUUCAUCGUAUCUAGAUGUUGGAGAUGUCUCCAUCGCCUUUGAGAUCCGGCCAAGACUCAACAGUGACCACUUGAUUCGGCGGAGCCACCUCUUCUGGAGCCCCUCAUUGAUACUUAGAACUUAGUGGGAGGCGACAAGCCGGAGCUGGUUGGCGACCUCAAAGCUUUAUCGCCGCGGCGGUGAUGGCAUAGUGUGUGAAGGCCACCAUCGACGGUAAUGCGCCCACAUAAGUGACACAGACCGCAGGGGCCAGGCGUAGUAUUGCGCAACCAGAGAGAGAAGAGGCAGAAUUUAGGGUUUGAGGAGUGUUGUCUUAGCACAUAUGCAUCAAAUCUGGAAAUAUGUUCAUAGCAUACGAAUUUAGGUUACCUACUCGUGGCAAUUCGUAUCACUACAAUGUGCCAUAAUUCUAUUGCAAAAAGCUAGACUUUGAUUUUUCAGAUUCCUCAAUAUCAUGCUCUUGCGUGCUUGUCAAGGGCAACUUCAACGAAAAAUCUAGAUAUGGUAUAGAACAUGGAGUGAAUAUUUCUGUGACAUGGAAACAUCUUCUAUGUAAUUUAAAUGUUUAUAACUAACUAGUAAAUGAUAAAAACUAAAUUGACAUAAUUAAAAUAUUUAUGACUGAAUUAAUUACUGUACAAUGGAUUUAAAAUUUUUUAGACAAUUUUUUUUUUGGAAAACAUCCUCCAAACAUGCGAGACUUGAGAUGCGUGCUGGAGAGAUGGGAAUGUGGUUAGUGUUAAAAUUUGACGUUGACCAGACUAUAUUUAAUUUAAUGGGACCAACUUGAUCCCAUGUUUUCCUUCUUCACUUAUCUGGGUCAGGUUGCAUCUAGUGGACAAAUGGGUACGUCCAAUAUUGUAGUUUUCAUUCAAUGUGAUGGCAUUUUACAUGUAGGGAUUCGGUCAGAAUAAUGACCAAAGUGACGUGUGGCCCGAAUAUCGUUCGGAUUCGUUGACCGAGCUUACCACGUUUAAGAACGAUUAACCAUCGAGAGUUAUUCCAAUUUAUCUUCUACUUAACUUACUCAAAAUGAAGAAAAACAGACAUAUUUUCCAUUGUGCAGCGAACAGUAUCAAAAACUAUAAUAUAUAUGUCAGGAUUGGGUCAGAAUAAUGACCAAUUGACCGAGUAUUACUAUGUUGUUUAAGAACGAUCGACUGUCGAUAGCUACCGAUGCCUUUUCCUAGGGUAGGCCUCAACUGCAAUCUUCGCAUACCGUGUCCAACCCUCGAUUUGGACAAGAGGGUUUUAUUUUAUCAUUGUUCUGGUCGUGUCCUUUUACCUUGGAACACCGAUCAUUACGUGAUCCGGGAAAGGACGAGGAUUGUUUUCUUUUUCCUGGGGGUCCCAAAAAAAACAAUGGUUGGCAUUGAUCCGUUCCUAAUACAUGAUUCGGAUCGAGACUUUUAGAUCGGUAAUGCCAAAUUAGGAGAUACUGAAAGAAGUUUUCAACUUGACAAUGCUGGGUUGGGGUAGCAAUCAGCCGGCCGGGUAGAUCGAGUUGAUUUGGUUGAGAUGAUUUUUGUUUCAUAGAGUUCCUUUUAAUUGGAACUUCGUUUAUCCCUAUUGGAAACAUACCCUGUAUUCGUUGGAAGCAUACGGGAUUGUUUUUCACUUGACUAAUUUUGCCAACACGCCAAGCUUGACGCUAGAACAGUUGCUUGAACGAAAUGAAUGUACAAUUUGUCACAUGUGAUGCUGACAUGGUUUACGUGGCACCGGGUGAGCGAUGAAUAUAGCUACAUGAGUCGGACUCAAACAGUCGAAAGUACUAACAAGGACUCAUCAUCGGCGUCGUCGGCCGGCCGUGCCUCUACUCAUCUAAUGAUUCGUGGUCGUUUGCUUCAAUUAUUGGUUAAGCAGAGUGCAAUUUGUCAAAUUAAACGCUCGAAUUCAAUUUAGAACGCCCAAGUGGACCACAGUUUCCGGCCGCAACGCCUCCAGUCAAAAUCAGUUAUCCUUUUUUUUUUUUUUUUUUUGCGAGGACAAAACUAGUUAUUCUUAUUUCUAGAUGAAAACGAAAAUGUGAAUAGGCUUAUCCUAAACUGCAAUCUCGGAAUCUUUGCUCAUCGAACUUGAAUUUUUGUGUUCUUGAAAUUGAACGAAGUAGAUGGUAUGGUCUGGAUCUUCCCGGUCAAUAAACAGCAAACAUAACAAAUUCUAAGCUUUUGAUAGUCCGAUUUUUCUGUUUUUUGGAAAAACAUGUUCAAUGUUCGAAGACUCAAAGCAUACUUAAAAAAAAAAAAAACUUUUUAUGUGACUUUUAAACAAAUUUUUUAAACCAAAUCAUUCGUGCAUUGAAAGCAUUUGAUAUUUUGAACGCGAAGAAAUGAUUAACAAGUUUAUGUUAUUUGAAAAUUCGAACGAUGAACGUAAAGUUACAAAUCAUAAGUUAGAAGGUAAAUAGCCCAGAUCUUCGGUUGUAUUUGAUGCCAAAAACCAUGAGUGGAGCGUUUCCUUGGCAUUCUCAAAGUUCGAAAUCAUCCUCCACUUGACACUAAACCUACUUCGUUUCUUGUCUCUAACUUACCUGCAAUUAGGGGUGAGCAGCGGUUUAGGGUCGACCCUGGACCAACCCUGGACCGGCCCAACCCUGCUGGUCCUGGUCCGGUCCCCAAGGGGACUGGGUCGGUCCUUGGUCCUGAAAUUCCAGGACCAACACUGUACGGGUUGGUCCUCGGUCCUAAGAGUUUUGGGUCGGUCCAACCCUGGACCAACCCUGUAUAUUAUAUUAUAUUGUAUUAUAUUAUAUUAUUUAUAAUUUUUUUAUAUAUUCAAACCUAAGUAAAAUGUCUAUUAUAUUAUAUUAUAUUGAGAUGUUCUAUUAAUAACACUAAUAGUAAUUUCAAUUUAAAACUUUUGUUGAGUAUUAAUUAUAUGUAGUUUGUUUUGUUUUCAGGUGUUUAGAAGAUCAAGUGAAUUAACAAGAUGUGAAGUUAUAUAUUCAUGGUUUAUAUUAAGUAUUUUGACUUUUUAUGGUUUAAUUGUACUAAUGAAUUGCACUUUGCUUUUCAAUUUGUGUCAAAUGAUAGAAGUUUUUGAAGAGUAGAGUAGUACUGCAGUGAAUACAGUGAUUUGCUAGUCAAGUGGUGUGAAGCUCAUUUUUUGGUUGAGUGAACCCUACGUGAUCGAAUGCAGGAAAACGCUUUUGCAUAUGGUGUUAUGAAUAUUAAAGAUAGAUUAUUACAAGAACUUUCCAUCUUGUCCCAUAUCUUGAUGAGCGGUUAGUAGAUACGAAAUUUUUAUUAUUGUGUCAUCUUAGAUUUGCUAAAUAUGUAUUGGUAUUUAUAGUUUAAUUGCACAAUGUCGUAUUGUCGAUGGAUGUGUAAUUUGAAUUUGUAGGUUUGUUUUUUUAGGAAGUAUAAAAAAUAAGACGAAAAAAAUUAUCGAUCGGUCCCGGGUUGACCCUGGAACCGGACCGAACCCAUUGGGUUGGUCCGGUCCUUGAUCCCAGACUCAAUAGGGUCGGUCCUCGGUCCUAAAAAUUGAGGACCGACACUGUACGGGUUGGUCCUAGGGUUAGGGGGUGGCCCGGACCAACCCGGACCAUGCUCACCCCUACCUGCAAUUAUAUCAUGAACUCGCUAUAGUCAUUAGAGUUUUUCACCAAAAAAGAAAAGAAUUAUGCAAUUGCAUGAUACGUACUUCAUUAGUUCUUGCGUUUGGGAUCACGUUUUGAACAUGAGAUGGAAAUUACUCUUUGACGUAUAUUAUCGGCAAAAGUUUAUAGGCUAGGUGGAUGUGAUCCUCAAAGUCCUCAGUUUUUUGUCAAGGGAUUAAUUUCGACCAUCCACCUCUACAAUGACUGGGGACCCGAAUUCGUCCAGCGUCGACUUGGGGCCGGCUCACAAGUUCACAUACGCGGCUGUCGUCAUCUUGGUCCUUGGCUCAAUCACCAUGAACCCAAGUUCCCAGGGAAAAAGGACUUGGUUUCGACAUGUUCGAUCCAGAGACUAGCCUUGUUGUACUAGUGCCGUUGCGGUUUGACAUUUGGGAAACAUGCACCAGGACGUUGGUUCGGUCGCCCCAACACCCUGGUGUAGCCUCCAGAAUAAAGGGUCCUCUGGCUGGGGGACUUCAGAUCAAUCCGAAAGUAAGUUCGUUGUGGGUGGGCUCGAGUUCAGCCCUCAGGGCCUAAGCUCCAACCGUCAAGACUCGAAGUUCAGCCAUUGGUUUGUCAUUGCAGCAAUUAAUGUUGUCUUUUCUUUUCUUCUUUUCCUUUUGGAAAGAAAGUUACUGCGAUUCUUUCAAAAUGACUCGUUCAAUACAAGGAGGUAUGGGAAAAUAAGGAAACAACGCCUACAAUUGCAGUUCCAAGGGCCCAUUUGAGAAGACCAUUCGCCGUUUUAUUGGCGUCUCUCCUAAUGCAGGAGAUUUUCCAAAAAGGGUUUCUGAUAAACAGAUUCCUGGAAAUGAUUCCAGCCACACACUACAGGGGAAAGCUAUGCGCGUUGGCGAUAGUUCCAACGAGCGACUGAGAGUUGCUUUCGAAGUGGACCUGUUUCGAGUUUCUUUUGCCAAGGUAACUAGGUUCCAGACGAUUCAGCUGAACGGACAGUCUCGUAGACAAUACAAUGAAGCCUCUUCCUCGUCAUAAUCUCGCACUUUUUCCUGAAUGGGAGAACCUCGACAGAUAUAAUUUAGCAACAAAAGUAUUCGUAGACGAUGUGGCCGAGUUACUUGUCGCACGCGAUAAGUGAGACUUGAAUGUAGGCCACUUCUUGAGCUGGAAAUUCCAUGAUGCUCAGACAAUCAUUAACCCAAUGAGACUGGCUUAAUUAAAAAGGGAGAAUCCAUGUUUGCGCAAAUUAGGUGAACCAUCACGAGUUUAUGUUAUCGAGUGCAAGUAAUUUCAUGUCUUCCCAAUUUUAUUUGGAAUUUGACUCGUGUUCGGUCCUUCCAAACGUAAUGCAGAAGGCCUGCCAAGUGCCAUACCCUUCAAAGGAAAAUGAAGAACUUGACUUCAAGUAUAUCUAUGCAAGCGCAUGAUCUACUGUCGUAAAAGAGAUGGCAUCCAGAAGUGAGACAAACAUAAGAGUUUGUCGGGGAAAAAGAAUGGAAAAUCUGGAGUCUUCAGAGUUAAAAAUCUACCGGGGUUUCACAUGGUCCACUCCUCGGACAUCGCACGUCAGAAAGACCAGUUGCUGUCAGUGACCAAAGGCCCAGGAGGUGCAACUGAAAUAAGAGGCUAGGGUGACUUGCCUGUGUUGCCUGCUGCUUGAUUUAGCAGCAGACCCACUUUUUUUUUGGUCGGUCAGCAGACCCACUUUAAUACCAGCAAAGACCGGAGAUUUCUGCUCAAGCCAGGGAGAUCCUUGACCGAAGUGAAUGUAUAGCAAGAUGAACCCCGGUCUGGUCACUCCAGUAGGCUCUCCCUCCCGUCUCUCGAGAAUGCUUUCGAGGAAAAGUUUUGGUAUAUUCUUAAACGAAAGUAGGCUCCCCGUGGGAUUCAUCGGAUCUAAGGAUUCGGGCAUAUCCGCCCCCAUCACAUCGAUAAUAGUUUGAUCUUGAGCUCGCCUACUCAUUUUGGACUUCAUGCCAUAAUUUACGAUCGUCCUCUCAAUUCUCUUAUUGAUAAUUUUGUCAUUGUUCUCAGUACAAAUUCAUUUUCCCUCGAACUUUUCUCUUUUUGACUCUAAUAACAAACGAAACAAGAAUAUUUCCAUGCAUUCGCUAGCAUGUGUAUAACUCAACGUUUUGAAAAUUCAUUAUAUAUCUCGCGAACCCAAUAAACCAUUUGAAGUAAAGGUCUUUGGCAUAUGUAGAUAGUUCUGAUCUGAAUAAGGCCACACACAGUUGGUGAAUUUGAACCAAUAAUCUCUGACUUCUGAUAUUGAAUUAUCCAUACACGCAAACUAAUUAGGAGAAUCUCGGGGGUUUGAAAAUUAUUGAGGAAAUGCGUUUGUCAGGGGUCGAGUCCUUGUCUAUUCCAGGCUGCGUUUUACUCCGUUGCUUCUUCCGUCGUUCCAUUUCGUAUAGUCCACGUUAGGUCGCCGCUAGGCGUCGCGGUAGAGGUCCAUGGUCGGUUGAAGACCGCGAUCUCUUAAGUUCGAUGACGUGGUCCGAGCGUUUGCGGACCGACCCCAACUCGCUGGUCCUCUCCCACACCAUGCGAAGCUUCUCGCCGGUCGCAGUCAGGAUGAUGACAGGCCGGUGCAAUUGCUGUUGGACAUGGACUUCUAAAUCGAAGGGGACCAAUGCAGGGAUUCCGUAAAGCAAGAGAGAUGGAGUUAAGAGGGGGACCUUCACGGGCAAUUAAUUCUAGACCAACACGAUGGCAACAGGACACCUAAAGGCUAGAGAGCUCGACAACGAACCCGAACCCGAACCCGAACCCAGACGCGGUCCUCUUUUGGGUAUGCCUCUGAUCGCUCUGAGCUUGCUUCGCAUGCGUCCCGCGAGACGAGCAUAACCAUGGAGAUACCGGAGUUGUUUUGCAUCUUCAUUUGAAGGAAAAUCAUUGAGACCUGUAUCUGUUUGAUGAAUAGAAAUGGGAUCGUGUUAGGGACGUUCCCUUAAACAGGAUCCGAUCAAGACAAAUCGAGGGGGAGCUAAUGAUUUCGUGGACCACACCGGAUCUGAUUCGCGGGGCCAAUGACGAAGACUCAUUGAUAGAAUAAAAUCAAGGUAUUAGGACCUUCUGCCCUAACCACGAAGGCCCGGAGGCUUCCAGAAAGAAGCUAUCCAUGUUCGUCAUAGAUGGUCCAAACAAAAGAGACGUGCAGACAUAAUAAAUAUUAGGGGCAUAUAUUGGUCUUGAUCCAACCCGAGAACCGGAUGGGAUUGGAAUGGACUAAAACGGUAAGUCAUGGGUGGUUCACAGUUUCAAAAACAGUAUGGAUCGACAAACCAGCUAGGAUUUCUCAAAUAUUUUUAAUUCUUUAUCAUGAAGAAAAUCCUAAUUAAUAAAUUAUUUUUUUCUUCUUUUACUGUUGGAAACUUCCACUUAAUGAGAAUAGAAGAAACAAAAGAAGAAAAAGAAGAAAUCACCGACCCUAGAACCAUACCAAACCCAUAGUCUGGUCCAGUUUAGUUCUAGAACUAGAUGGGCCAGUUUUUGGUUUCACAAAUUAGGAACCGAUCUUACCCGCUUUGGUUGCAAGUUUUAAGAUGGGAACCAAUCCAUCUUGGAACCAAUUACUUUUACUAAAUCUACCUGUCAUUGAAGUCAAUUGAAUGACGUGUCUACCAACCAAAAAUAAAAAAUAAAAAUGCAAGUGUUUACCCAAGAAAUAAAAUUGGCUUGUAGCAACCUUAUAUUAUGAAACGAAGUAAAAUGGAUUGAAAAGUUACAUGAAAUUACUCUCAAGCGAAGAAAUAAAUCCAUUUUAUGUCAUUCCAUCUCUUCUUCCUCCAUGUAUGUAUACAAACCAUCAAUUUUUGAAAAUCCUCUCUCUUCUUCUCGAAUCUCUUCUAUCGUAUUACUCCAUAUUUUUAUUUAAAUAGUGUUUCACUUUCACCACGAAACUUACCCCAAUCGAUAGCUCAUUUUAUAAUGAUGUGUAAAAAAAAAAUUGAAAGCCCGGCCCUACUCGAAAUCCCGUGGCCAGAAAUGAAUGGGCCGGUCUUGGGGCCCUUUUUACCUGGUUUCGGGUGGACCGAAAUAAUAGACAAUAAAAACAAAGUUUUGUUUCGAAAGAAAAAUCUUCCACUCCAAAAGUCGUGAUUAUAAACUAUUUAAAAUUGUUAAGGUAGACAUUAUCUAGAUAACAAAUAGCCGUACUAAAUUGAUUUUAUGAAUAACCAUCCAACCUAUAACAUUUCCAAUUGCAAUCAAAAGCUGAAAAAAAGUUUACAAAAUAUAACAUAUUCAAAAAUAUAUUUCCUUGACAAAAUUACCAUAACAGAUCAAACUUUAUGAUAUUAGAUAUAUCGAAUUUCAUGCAUGAAGGAAUUUUAUCAUAUCGAAGAAGUUUCUUCUUGCCUAUACCUUACGAGACAGCAAUUUUUCAAUUAUAUUAAAUAAAAGUCAAAUGUCGAUUAAAUACAUCAAGCAAUCAUUAAAUUUGCCACUUCGCUUGCGUGAGAUUAAGAAAACUAAACCCUUAAAUAGAAAAUAAAAAACCAUUAGUCAUAAAAGGAAAAUCUAAUUUGGAACAAUUUUUCCUCCAACGAUUUCACACAAGUAGAGAUGCAAAACACUACAACGAAAAAUGAUGAAGUUACUUUAACUUUGAUUUUGAUAAAAAGUUAUUGUGAUAGUAGCAAUAGGCGACAUUUAAUAUGAAAAAAACUUUUCAUCGUUGAAAAACAACGAAUUUAUUUUUUUAAGUUACUGAAUGAUAAAAAAAUAAAUUGUUAUCCCUUAAUUUUCUUUAGGAUCAACCGUUUCCAAAGUGGAUAGGUUCCAAGGAACCUACUUUGUUGAGACUAGUUUCUAAUAUUUUGGAAUUUAGAACCUAUCAUGUAGACUUUGGAACCAUAUUUGGAAAUGACCCUAUCGAUUUGGUCCGGUCCUAAGUUACCUAGGAAUAAGCCAAUUUUUCUUAUUUUCUUUAUUCAUUGAAAGAACAAAUUAUCGUAAAACAUCUCUCCUUAUUUACAAUCAAGACAAAUAACUGUUAUAGCAAAAUAGAAGAGCAAUAAAAUAGCAAGAAGUACUAUACAAAACAAAGAGAAAUAUAAAGCAAUCGGAAGUGUCCAACUCAUUCCUUAGACAAGCAAAAUGAAAGUUAAAGCAACAAUAGAAAUUCCAAUUCAUCAAAAGUAACAAUCCAUAAAAGAUGAAAAAACUAUGGAAUCUUUAGCUAAGUUACGUGAAGUGUUGAAAGCCAUUGACAAUUUGAAAGAAUUUAAUUAUUCGAGAGAGGUGGAGAUCGAACAAUGCAUGUCCUCAAAAAAGUUUAUUUAAUGUGCAUGCAUUCAUCGAGUUGGAGACAGAUUGGCCGCCACCAGAUGUUGCAGAACACACCAUUCAGCUAGGAAGCAAUUGUGACUUUCGGUAUUGUAGGACAAAUAAGCUCAUCUAAAAAAAGUACAGGAACUUUCGUUGAAUGAGCACGAAAGAUAUGCAAGUCAAGAGUGAGUGGUUUUAGGGUGGGUAGGUAUCAAAUUUGAGGUGGUUACAGACUUGGAAUCUAAAACCUAUCAUGUCGAGAUCAAUUCCUAACUUGUCGAAUCAGAAACCUACAAUGCGGACCCUAGAACCGGAUCAAAAUCGGUCCAGUCCGAUUCCAUGGUUUACCCAAGACCAUUGUUCACCCCUACUUUUGUUGACAAGUGUGGAAAUUGGGUACUUACAUAUUAGCCCAAAGGAGCGCAAUCCUGUCACCAACCCAGCCCACCAUCGGACGGGGCCCACAGGAGCGCAAGAACCUGUUUCCGCCAUUUUCACCCAAAUUUCAAUUUCAAAGCGCAAAAGCAUCAACUCCUCCAUUCCUUCAUCCUUCAUCCGUUCAUCGAUCGCGAUCCUCAAUCCCAUCAUCCUCUCUCUCUCCCUCCCCUUUUGCCGCUUCUCGCCAUGGAUGUUCAGCCCGCGCAGGUUCCAGGUACGCCCUCUCUUCGUCCUUCUUCCGCCACGUUUACUUCUUUUCCCUCCGGUCACGUUGGUCUUACCGUACGAAGCAGGGAAGCCUCAGCCGCCGAGACAGAAACCCGGCAGGAAAGCGAACGGGCCGUCGAAGGCCGUCCCCGCCAGAGAUCCUCCGAUUUCCAGGUGGGGGAUUCUUCGCCGCCGCGACUCUCGAGGUCGUAAUUCGAUUUGUUCUUUUGAGUUACGCCCUGUUGGGGUCUCUCCCUUCUUUUUUUUCCAGGCAGAAGCGCGUGUUCGGUACGUCGCGGUGCACCAACGUUCCGGCGAAACCGGCGACGGAGAAACAACCCGCUGCGAAACCCUCGACGGGGGUUGGCCGGAAACGGGUCCAGUCGGCGCCGAAAAGCCCACCCACCGUCGGUGCCGCUCUAGCAUCGGCUGCGGAGAAGACGUCUCCGGAGAGAGAGAAGCCUGAGCCGAGGAAGAAGAGCGUUUGCUUCGAAGAGGAAUCGCCUGAGAAUUUGGGCGAUGCGCCGGCAGAGAAAACGUCUCCUGAGAGAGCGGACUUCAAGCCGAAGAAGAAGAGCGUUUGCUUUGAAGAGAAAUCGCCUAAGAAUUCGGGCGAUGCGCCCGCGGAGAAAGCGUCUUCGGAGAGAGCGAACCCUAAGCCGAAGAAGAAGAGCGUUUGCUUCGAAGAGAAAUCGCCUAAGAAUUUGGGCGACGAGAGCGCGGUCGGGCCUCGGACCCCGGUCCAAGCGCCUUUUGCUGCCGUGGCAAAGCCGAGGAGGUCCGGGACGCCCUAUUACACAGCCGAGAAUUGCAGCAAGUGCAGGUUCGAUCGGCUGGAGACCGCUUCGUACUGGCUUGGCCAGAUCAAGCUGGCAGAGCCUGUCGGGAAGCAUUUCGUCUCGGCGAGUUUCUUUCGGAUGGCUCUGGAAUGCAAGGCCGAGGUACACGUUUUUCAUGAAGAAAACUGUAUAAUUCAUGCAUGUUCUGGGAACAUUAGCAUUAGAGAUCGUUCGUGUAUACCCUAUUAUAAUCAUGGGGCAUGGCAGCAGCAGGAAACAAGUCUUUUUAGCUGAUAGCAAUCAUGCAAAAGCAGCUUAAGAAGAACUUCUAAUCUUUUAAACUGCAACUGAUGGUAAAUCAUCUCUGCUGAUGGAGGCAAAUGAGUUCAUGGAAGUUUCACUUAUCUGUAGAGUGGCAAUACUCUGCAGAAGAUGGUUGCUUGAGAUUUUAAAUUUCUGGGCAAACAUAUAGUAUUUGGUCUAAAAGCUUACGAUUUCAAGCACUUAUAACCUAAAAUGUGAAUCUGAAGUAGUCAUAAUUUUGGUUCCCUCAUGUUCAUGAUGCCCUCUUCAUCGGUUUCUGAUUUAGUCCUUUCCUUCGUGCUCUGCAUCUGUCAGCCCAUCCGGAACCUGCGCAUCGAGCUGAAGCGUUACUUGUCACGGCACCUGCACUUAUCGGAAGAGGAAGAGUGGAGAAACCUGUCUCUCGGCUAUGGAAUCCUGAAGGAUGAGCCCAAUUCAGGUCCCCAAAAUCCAGAUUGCAGGGAAGCCAGUGUGAGGCUGAGCAUCGAAAGCAACCGUGAUGAUGAUCGAGAACAUCAGGAUACAGAGGACGAGCUCAUCGACUUGAAGGAGGAAUAGGUGGAUUAGUCUUGAGAUUGCAAUAUCAUCUAGUCGGUCGGUCUUUUGUGUAUUUGGCUUCGAAUUAAGCAAUCUUUUGCUUUCUGGGUUUUGUCCAAGAAUCGAUAUAUACAUAUAUAUGUUAGUUUUCGCGCUAGAACUUUUGAGCGAUGAUGAGAUGUCUGAAAUAUGAGAUGCUAGCGCAACUGAAGUGAACUAUAGCACAGUGUAGUUUAAUAACACAGUUCAGACUUCAGAUGUUUGUCUUUGGGAUAUACAUUUGGUUUGAUGCUUGAUCUCUAUGCCGAGAACCGAAACUUGCAGGCCCUUCAUUGAAGAAUCAUGAAUUAUACCUUGACUAAGGUUUUUUUUUUUUUUGAUGACUGAGGAAUUGCCGGAGAUCACAUGACCUUUUGGUGCUCGGUAGCACCGGUGGGGCCUUCUUGUAAGCCGUUAUUUAUACGUAAAUGUUCGGGAACUGACUUAGUAAACCACUCUUAGGACUUCUACUUAAGUCACGAAUAUCUGGAGAUCCGAACCUGUUCCCUCGACGAUGAGGUAGUGGAGCUCAAUCAUCACGAACAUUAUAGUUGAUAUCUUUCAUUGGGUUUGGAUUUUUAUUUUUUGGUAAAUAUAAGUAAAUGCAAUACAAAUUAACAUCUAAAAUCUAUUAUCCUACUUUAUCACUUAACAAUAUAUGAAUCAACUCUCUAAAAGGAUUGGCAACCCAAUUGGUAGGACUUCUUCCCAAAAGUUAUGUUGUACUAUUUACUCAAAAUAAGAGUUCAACAUUCCUCUAAUGUUUUCCAGCAUAACAGGUCCAAUGCUAUCCACCAUGGUCUCUUUAUUGAUGGGUUCAAUAAUAACUUUCGAGUCCAUCUCAAUGAUAAGCUCAACAGUAGGUUAGAUUUUACUCAUCUAAAAUGGAAAAAAAAGUCACAGAAAAAAAUCCGUAUCAUAAAAAAGAGAAAAUGGAUUACGUGCAAUAAAGAAUACUGACGGCAAUCGUAAUUUCAUUAUAUCUAUACUUGAUUUAUGUUAGCUCUCGAAACAUUAAAAAAGAAAAAAAUAUUGCUAGUAUAAAAAAUAAUUACGCACGAAAUAAUCUAGAGAUUAAAAUUGCAUGCGAUUAGUACAAACUUCAUCAGUUAGUUUUCAGGUUUGAUAUAAAUGAAUUCUUUUUGAACCAAAAAAGAAAUAUCUUUACCGUGUUAAGUUAUAUCUUAUCUCUCGAUAGUAAACUAAGAAGAGAUUAAUUUUUUUAUCUGCGAAAGGAAAAAGAAGAUUUGGACAGGAAUUAAAAAGAAAAAGACAAGGAAAAUGGAAAAACUCCUUUUGGGGGGGGGGGGGGGGGGGGCUUUUGUUCUUUUAAUCGGUUCCAGAACCUCCGUAAAAAGAGAAAAAUGAAAAUGAAAAAGAAAAGCGAGGCUCCAUUUUUGAAUCCGACUUAGGAGCUGCUGCUGCUUCUCCGGAGCUCUCCAACCAGAGCGCUCGACCGGCGGCGACGGCGGCGGCGGCGGCGAGGACCUCGUGUCGUCACCGAUGACUUGAACGAGGAAAACCGUUCUCUCUCUCUCUCUCUGUCGCUCGCUCGCUCGUGGUCAGAAGAUGGAAGGAGGCGGCCGAGACAAAGCAUCGCCGCCGCAGGCGACGGCGAAGCCGAGCAAGUUCGUCGUGUACCAGAACCCGGCCUUGGCGGCCGCCCUCGCGGCCAACAGCCUCGUGCCUUCGAAGCUCGCCCUCCUCUCCGCCUUCUUCUUCUCCUCCGCCAGCGCCUUCGCCUUCCUCUCCUUCUCUUCCAGGUACGCGCCGCGCCCCCGGCGGGGGCGUUUUGCCGUCUAUUUUCCUGGUUCGUGAUCCGGAUUUCGGAAGCUAGAGGACGGCUGACAGUCUUCGUGAGCCUGCACGUUUGCAUUUCCGACCGGGAAUCGUGUCCUAUUGCGUGCUUCAGUUGGUCACGUUUCGCUCGUUGCAUUGGGGUUUAGGUCAAUGGCGCUGAUUUGCUAUCUCGCUGUAGUACGACUGAUGUUUUCUUUUCUUUUUGGUGCUUGAAAUUGCCGUGGCUUCGUUUGCACUUGGUAGAGAGAAAUGAUGAAUAUUUGGGACGGUUUAGGGUUUUUGAGCGGGGUUUUAGAGGGGGAGCUUAGCUCCAGGAUUUUGGAACUGAUGGACAUUACGGUCUGAUGGUUACUCUUUGCAGUGCAAGUAGUAUUUCCUUGACAUUAUGCGUGCCUCCGAAGGUAUUGAAACUACUGAAGAGUUUUGAGUUUAUCCUUUGAUUGGGGGAAAGUGAAUCCUGGUGCAAAUAGAAUUUGCCUUGACGUUAGUUGGGGCAUUGUGAAGCUGAUUUCUUUCUCUUACUGAAUUGAGGGUAUUUGAACCUGAUCUGAACAAAACUAGAUGAUGAUUUUCAAAGCAACAAGAGUGAGAAAUGAAGUAGAAAUAUGAUUGACGAUGUCUCUAGCUUACACCACCCUAGCUGGCACCCGUGUCCUUCAGCAAUCAAGACAUUGAGUUUCUCUCUUUGGACUGGGGACUGCUGCAAAUGAAACACCCGGGAUCCAGCGCUUUUGCCUUUGCCCCUUUCUCCCCGGAUCCACCAUAACCAUACUCAAUUUCAUCCCUUGUGUAAGGCCGAAGCUGGUUGGUCCCGGGGCAAUGAAAUUAUUUGACAGAAUGAACUAUCAUGAAAUUCCAUUUUAUGUUGAGCUAUUUGUUUGAUUGCCAGCCAGAGAAUCCAUAUUAGUAUUAAGGUUUGAUGCUUUAUCCCCAGUGAGAAAUGUCCGUUCUUGUCCAAUGUCAGUAGCCAUCCUUCUCCUUUCAAUUUCUGCAGUUGACUAGUUACUUCCUUGAAUUUGUGAAGGGAGGAUGGGUUUAUUGACUAUCUGAAGCUCAAAAAUCUGUCUGAGGAGACAGCUUGUAAGUCAUUCUGUUUGAGCCUUAUUGUCUUAUAUUUGUUUAAUAUGCAUGCUGAUUUUUGGUGCUUUUGGAUAAUACCGUUUCCCCCCUCCAGAUUUUCUUGCCAAGAUCCUGCAGACUGCUGUGGCUGUACUUUUUCUGGGGGCUCUGCUUGCGCUCUUUAAAGCAAUAUCUCUGCAUAUAUCCAAAAAAAGAGGAGCGCCUUUUGUAUCCCCCUCUACUGGAACCAAGGAUCAACCUACUCUUUCAACACGCCAGUUAGCACUUUUGGGGUUAAAGCCGAGGGCCAAUCAGGUUGGGUCUGAACCAUCAAGGAAGCCUCCCAAAUCCAAAACCCAUUCAACACCUAGUUCGGAGCUUCUUGUCCCACUUCAUCAAACUAUCACCAGUUCAAAUCGUUCAUCUCGAAUUAGCACGGAUAAAUUGAAUUCUAGCGGAGGAAGCAAGGGUAGACCAAUCGGCACCCCAUCCAAAUCGCCAGGUUCUUCUUCUUUGUAUCUUGUGCCUGGAGCUGUCUCGCCGCUACCUUCCUCUCAACACUCACCUGGUCCUGAUUCUGUUGUCUCAAGUCCAUGGUUGAGUAAUCGAGCAUCUCCUAUGAAGGACAUCAGAUCAGAAGAGAAACUUGAACAGUUUUUGGCGGAAGUUGAUGAGAAGAUCUCUGAAUCAGCUGGGAAAUUGGUGACUCCACCUCCUACGAUCAAGGGUUUUGGCAUAACAAGUCCAAACACUGUAGUCAGUUCGGCUAAUAAUUCUGGAACUACAAGAAGCACUCCUCUGAGGCCAGUGAGGAUGUCUCCUGGCUCUCAAAAGUUCAGCACACCUCCCAAGAAAGGAGAGGGUGACCUUCCUUCACCAAUGUCAUUGGAAGAGGCAGUAGAAGCUUUUGAACACCUCGGUAUCUACCCUGAAAUUGAGUUGUGGCGUGACCAUCUCAGGCAGUGGUUUUCUUCAGUUUUGCUCAACCCUCUGCUUAAAAAGAUCGAAAGCAGUCACGUUCAGGUCUGUCAUCCUUACAGCCCAUUUUGCUAACAACUAUAUCAAGAAGAAUUAUGAUUAUAUUGUUUAUUUUAAAGCUUAUAAGUCAUCCCUGGGACCAUGAGGAACUUCAAUGUCCAUUUGAAUGAAAAGGUAGUUCACUGCAGUUUCAAUUAUAGUGUAUGUUUUGUCUAUGCUCACAGGAUGUAUAUUUAGCAUUAAGAUUGUCCAUAUAUGUACCAAAAGAGAUGAUUUUUCAAUUUAUGUUGGCAAUGAGUGAGUGAUGUACAUUUUCAACAACAAAUUUGGGAGAUUUCAGAUACUGACAAGGUGCUCUUGUAACAUAUGUGAUUAGACUGGGGCCUUUGGGGAUGUGUUGGUGAGCUUUACUAGGCUUUCACGUGUUAUGUUUAAUGGGUUAGUCUUCAUAUCUGGCUGUGGAGAUUUUAGUGGUCUUUUUGGUUGAGUUUGACCUCUUGAGAUUGCUUUGAACAAAAUGAAACGAAUAAUAAUAGAUAUCCACUGGGAAAAAUGUAGGAAAAUGGAAAGGAAAUGAUGUUACCUCACUUCUUAAUGGCAUAAGGUUUACCAUAGUUGGGCACAGCAUCAUUUUACCCGUUCUUACAAUUUUCCCGGUUCACUCUAGAUAUAACAGGCUGGUUGCAGUUAUCCCAAAUUUUGGCUACCGAUCAGAAUGUGAUGGCUAGAGUUAGGCGCCAAAACUCAUUAGGCCCACUCAUCACCACCUAAAUAAAUAAUGCCAUUCAACAAUCCCAUUCAAUCACUUGGUCAUCCACAAAAUUUAAUCUUAAGAAUGUUAUUAAAAUUUAAGGUCAGAGCCCAAUUCAGAUGAAUUAACCACUCAAUAACGACAAUAUUUCCUUCUGAAAUGGCAAUGAAAUCAUGAGUGGUCUAGUGACAAAGUUUCUGAAUAUUUUUCCACUGUCUGUUAACAUUUUAAGCAUAUUCUAAGAAUUUAUUCACUUUGAGGGACAAAUUGAGACAAACCCCAAAUAUCAGGAGCAAAAAUUUACCUAGCUUCACCAUCCUUUAGACAUAGCUUUAGCUAUCCUGAUUUUAGUUGAUGCUGAUUUUAGGUGAUGGAAGGUGCAGCGAAGUUUGGAGUUUCGAUCACAGUCAGUCAAGUGGGAGAAGUACGUGUAUCUGGGACUUCUACUGUCUCUCAGAUUGACAGGAGUAAAGAAUGGUCACCUACUUAUACUCUGGAUGAAGAUGGACUUCUUCACCAGCUACGCGCUACUCUUGUUCAAGCUCUUGAUGCUGCCACGCGUAAGUAUCACCCUAAUUGCUUUUAUACAAUUCUGCGAACUCAAGCUCCUGAGUGUUACCAUGUGGGAUUAAUGCAUUAAAAAAGCCCUUACUGUCACCUGUCUUUAACCAAAUUAUAAUAUAACUAUGCUUCUUGGUCCUAUUUUAUUGUUGGAAAAAAAUUUGAGCUGGGUUCAUACUUUAUUUUCCUUUCUAUUGUUUAAGAGAGUGCUGUGAAGCCAAAUCACUAAGGUGGCUCAUUAUGUUUUGUACUUAUUGUAUCAUCGAUUUUUGCAUUAAAAAAGCCCUGACAUUUACCUGUCUCUAACCAAAUUAUAAAAUAAUUAUGGUUCUUUCUUCUAGGUUUUAUUGUUGGAGAAAUUUAAGCGGGGUUUCUCUUCCUUUUUGUUAAGAGAGUGCCGUGAAGCCAAAUCACUAAUGUGGCUUUUUAAGUUUUGUACUUAUCGUAUCAUUGAUUUCCGCAUUACAUUUGUUUUGCGGGUGAGAGAAUGGCAUGCAAUUUGUUGUGUUAAUUAAAAUGGCUAAAUCCAUCUGUUUCUACUAGCUUUAUUUGGUUAUUUAUUUAUUUUUUAUGUUGUUCAUGCAGCAAAGCAGCUUGUAGCCAAUUUGCAACAGCCUCCUCUGCAAAAUCCGUUGAUUCCUCUGAUGCAGGAGUGUGUUGAUGCUGUAACUGAGCAUCAGAGGCUUCAGGCAUUGCUAAAGGGAGAAUUGAUUAAAGGUGUGCUACCCCAGAGCAGUGUUCGUGCUGAUUACGUGGUACAGAGAAUACGAGGUAUGCAGAUUUUUUUUCCAAAGGUAUAUUGCCUUUCAUGGACUCUGCUUGAUAAGAAGAAGAGAAUGUUUUUACCUUUUAGUGGCCAGAUCCUGGACUUUACAACUUAGACUCGGUGUCUUUCCCUCUUGAACAGAGCUUGCUGUGGGAACCUGCGUGAAGAACUAUGAUUUUCUCGGAAGUGGAGAGGUUUAUGGUCAGAUGAAAAAGAAGUGGACUCCUGAUGUCCCCACUGAUUCUCAUCUGCUCUUGUAUCUAUUCUGUGCAUUCUUGGAGCACCCCAAGUGGAUGCUACAUGUUGAUCCUACAUCUUACACUGGAGCACAGUCCAGCAAAAAUCCCCUGUUUUUGGGAGUUUUGCCUCCAAAAGAGAGGUUUCCAGAGAAGUAUGUUGCUGCCGUAUCAACUGUCCCUUCUGUUCUUCAUCCAGGAGCUUGUAUCCUGGUUGUAGGAAAACAAAAUCCUCCUGUCUUUGCCUUGUAUUGGGAUAAGAAGCUGCAAUUCUCUCUUCAGGUAAGCUCAAGAUAUCUUGGUCUGCAAUUUAAAUAUCCAGAAGGGUUGACUAUCUAGGGUAAAUGCAAUUUGACAUUAUUGCUAGGAUUUUCUGGAGUAUGAUGGUUAAAACAAUAGCAAAGCACACCGUAGGAUGAGUGUCUAAUUAUUGACACUGAUCUCGUUGUAUCAAUGUGCGAUCUAUGGUGCCACUAAUGAAAUGGGGGAGCGUUACCCUUGACUAUUGGGCUGAGUUGACACAUUACUAGAGUCAAGGUUUUGCACGCCCAAUCCACCAAUGUGUUUGUAAGCCUGCUGAAUUUUGUAAAUGGCAUAAUCCUAUUGCCUGCCGCGAAAACUUUCUGCUUACGUAAUUUGUCCUCCUUCACAUGAUGUAAUGAAAAGAAUACUUCUGGCUUUUAUUUGCAGGGAAGGACAGCAAUGUGGGAUUCUAUCUUGCUCCUAUGCCACAGGAUAAAUGUCGGGUAUGGAGGUAUAGUUCGUGGCAUGCAUCUGGGUUCGUCAGCCUUGAGCCUCCUCCCUGUUUUCAAUGCGGAUAAUGAGAACUGAGAUCUUGUUUCGGGAACCACUAGAGAAACAGUUUUGCAAAUGCGCCGGCAUCAUGGCAGGAUCACACAUUCGAUUCAGAGCUCGCCCGCCUUCAAAAAUGGUUUCUUGUGAAUGAGCCGCCACAUUUGCACAGUUUUGGUCCGACCGUAUUUAGUGGUCCAACGCGAAUUGGAUUACCCCCGCUGUAGGGUAUUGUAAUUUAGCAUGCUAACAACUCGGCGUAACUUUCAGGCAACGUUUCUUCACUGCUUUGGUUAGAACCUUAAAACCUUCGUUGAUUGUCAAGACUUUUGGGAAAUGUUUUCUUGAUACAACGCCUAAAGCAAACCUGCGGUGGAAUCGUUGGACACAAUGUUAGUAUUGCAUCAAUGUUAUGGUCCUACGUACCUUGUGUGUCCUAACCAUAUAAGUCUCGUUGACAAAAAGAACAUUGCUAACCCAACAGUCGACAAUAAAUAACUUAGGCUACAUUUGGUCGCUCGGAAUUCUAAUCAAGAUAUGUCUGGAUAUGAUAGAAUAUGAAAUAUUGUGAUUUUUUUAUGUUCUGUCCAUUGUUUGGUGAAUCAUAUUAUUAAAGUCAAAUAUGUUCAUAUAUCAUGUACAUUUUUUUAUAAACGGCAUAUCAUUGUAAAUGAAUUUAAAUGUUUAUAAAUGGAGAUGGUGAAAAUUUCUGAUAACACUAUUUCUUAAUUUGUUUUUAUUUUAUUUUUCCUUUGUUUUAUAUCAUUUUCUCUAUUAUUUCGUUUUUCUCCUUUCAUUAUUCUUUAAUAAAAUUUUAUCAAAUAGUAAAUUGUACUAACAUACAUAAAAUACAAAAAAUAUAUAUAAUAAAUAUAAAUAUUUAAUUUAUAAAUUGAAUGUUUAUUAUAAAAAAGAAUUAAAGUUGAAUAUAUAAAAGAAAAUAAGAUUAAUUAAGAAUAUUUUUUUAAUUUUUAAUUUCUUAAAUCAGAAUUCAAAUAUUAUUUAUUUCGAAAUAUAAUUUCAAAUUUUUUUUAAUUUAAUAAGUUUGUUAUUCGAGAAUAUUAUAAAUCUUGUCUAUCUUUUUAUUCCACCUCUCCAAUAGGAUAAUUUUAUCUUGUUAAUAUCCUCUUAUAUCCAAUGUUAUCCUGUCUUGAGCGAGCACCAAACGUAGGAUAUGAUAUCAUAUCUUAUCUCAAAUUUUAUUCCAACUGUUAAACGCAGCUUUAAUGCUUGUGGCUCUCAUUUCAAGUCAUUAAUUUCUACUAGCGACUUGUUUUAUUUAUGCCGUUAUCAAAUAUGGUACUUGGCUGAAUAAGAUAUUAACUAAUUUCUCGGAAAGACUCGGUUAAGCGUGUCAAUUUCAAGUUAGUCAAGUUCGAGUGAAUCAUAUUCUCAUGGUGCAUAAAACUCAUUUUCACUACAAAGAUUUCACUAUAAUCUAAUUGAUGUCAGAGUUCCUCCUUAUGUCCAGACUAUCGUGAUUUAUGAAUAUGAUAAAAAAAUAUUUCAGAACUAUGGUAAAGUGUUUCGAUUUAGGGAUGUGAUGAUAUAUACUCUAAAAACUAUAUAGCUUCUUAAACCCCUCAUUUUUGCAAUUAGGGCUCGAUCGUCACGAAUAACUCUCUCUCUCUCUCUUCCCCAUUUGCGGCGCCUAUCACACUUCAGUAACUCAACUUCCCACCGCUGCAUGCGCCGAUCGGAAGAGGUCCUGGUGACGACAUCGACUCGAACGAAGCAAAACGUCGAGCACUGCGAACGCUUCUUCUAGACAACACGCCGCCGCCGCCGCCGCCUCGGUCUUGAUCCACAUUCGAUCGGGUCCGCCGUCGGCGAUUCCGGCGAUCGAGAAAUAAGGGGGGGGGGGGGGAGCGGGGUUCUCACCACCGUUCGCGGGCGGCGGCGGCGGCGGCAUGAACAACGGCGAGGGGAGGCGGCUGGCCGGGCAGGCGGAGGAGGAGGACGACGAGGAUGACGUCGACGAGUGCGGCCUCGAGGCGUGGGAGCGGGCCUACGCCGACGAGCGGUCCUGGGAGUCUCUUCAGGAGGACGAGUCCGGCCUGCUCCGCUCGAUCGACAACAAGGCCCUCUACCAUGCCCAGUACCGGAGGCGCCUGCGCUCCCUCGCUUCGAGCAAUGCGGCUUCUCGGAUUCAGAAGGGCCUGAUCCGGUACCUCUGCAUCGUCAUCGACCUCUCCAGGGUAAAUGAUCUCGUGCUGCUUCUCCGAGGGCCAUUUAUACGAUGACGAAAUUUGGCUUUUUUUCUUUUUUAGCUGAAGAGCAUUGCAGUGCAGCAUUUAAUUGCCAGUAUCAAAUUGUAAAGGAAACUGAAUCUUUCUCAUUCAUGUCAAUGCAUUCCCAUAGUGAAUUCGGACUGGUUGGUUGAUUGAUCUAAGAAACAAACUAUUACCCUUGAUAUGUAGCUGCCAAUUUUUAGAAUUUUGCAUUUCUUACAUGGCUGGGAAACCCGAGCACUACUAAAAAUGCGUCCUUUAUGCUGGAGAUGGCUCUGGGUCAUUGAAUUUUGUUUUGUUGUCUGCAUUUCGUGAUUCUCUUGAAAAGUCAUGAAUUAAAAAUUUCUGUGUAGGCUGCCUCGGAGACGGAUUUUCGACCAAGCCGUAUGGCCGUCGUUGCAAAAAAUGUCGAGGCUUUUAUCCGGGAAUUCUUCGACCAGAAUCCACUAAGUCAAAUAGGUUUAGUUACCAUAAAAGAUGGGGUUGCUAAUUGCUUGACGGAUCUUGGUGGAAGUCCUGAAUCCCAUAUUAAAGCUCUGAUGGGCAAGUUGGAGUGCUCGGGCGAUUCCUCGUUGCAGAAUGCCUUAGAUCUUGUUUGUGGAUAUCUGGAACAGAUUCCAUCGUACGGUCAUCGGGAAGUGCUGAUAUUGAAUUCAGCCCUAAGCACUUGUGACCCUGGAGAUAUUAUGGAGACCAUUCAGAAAUGCAAAAAGUCAAAAGUCAGGUGUUCUGUUAUUGGUCUUUCUGCUGAAAUUUUCAUAUGCAAACACAUCUGCCAGGAAACCGGGGGACUAUACUCUGUUGCGGUGGAUGAGGUAAGUUAAUCUAAGUAUUUCUCCAUUCUGACUGAUUCCACAGCACUUGGCUAAUCGUUUUAGAACAAGAAACAUGAUAGACAAGGAAGUGGGGAGAUUCAUUGGUGUUCCAUUUUUGCGCAUGGGUUAAUGAGAUGCAAUGCUUUCUUGGAUCAUUGCUCAUAAAAUUGUGACUCCCAUCUAUUAGUUCGGUUGUCUCAUGAAAAAUAUAGAUGGAUACUUACGUAAGACAUUUUAUCUUUAUUUACUCAUGCAGUCUCACUUUAAGGAGUUGAUCCUGGAGCAUGCACCUCCUCCUCCAGCAAUAGCAGAGUUUGCAAUUGCUAAUUUGAUCAAGAUGGGUUUCCCCCAAAGAGCAGCAGAAAAUGUAAUUUCAAUUUGUUUGUGCCAUAAAGAGGCUAGGGGCGGAGGAUACACUUGUCCAAGAUGCAAAGCAAGAGUAUGUGAACUACCAACAGAAUGUCGUAUUUGUGGGCUCACCCUUGUUUCUUCUCCCCAUUUGGCGAGGUCGUACCAUCAUCUGUUUCCUAUUGCACCUUUUGACGAGGUUACUCCCGUACGCCUCAGUAGUUCUCAGCACAAGCUACCCAAAUCUUGCUUUGGAUGUCAACAAAGUCUUCUUAAUCCUGGUUAGUAAUCUCAUGACCACCCCAGUCCUGAUUACUUGCGAAUUUAAUAAGCAUGGGAUCACAUUACCUUCCACUAGAUCAGCACAGUAUUUUAUUAGUUGUUGGGGUCCUGAAAUCUGCUCUAGUGCUUGUCUCUCAUCAUUAAGUGCUGAGGCGUAUUCUGUAGGGUGUCUGCUUUUCCUUUUUAUUCUGCUUGAAUCAAAAGUAGAAACUUGAGGAAAGCUGUUUAGACUCGCAAAGAUAUUCAUGACACAACGGAGGUAGGACAUAAGUAAGAGAGUUUACUUUUCACCUUCAUGACAUGAGGCCUGUCCGCCAUGGAUCUCAGCAAUAUCUUAUGCCCGGGGGACAGAGAAGAUGGCCCUGUAGUUAUUCCUUUUGAAGUGUGAUUGACUGAGUUCUUGAUAUUCAUGACCUGAGGUAGGCGGGACAUUAGGAAAAUAUUUACUUCCACCUUCCAUAAGGCCCGUCCACUGUGGACCUUAAUAUCUCAUGCUGGGGGAUAGAGAAAAUAGCCCUGUAGUAAAUUCUUCUGGCUGUUUGACUGAGUUCUUGAUAUUGAGGUGCAUUUUCCUUCAGUGUGUAAUAUUGAUGGGCAUGAUUAAGCAAAAUCUGACACUUGUGGACUUUAUAUUGAAGGUGUGAAAGAAAGAGACUUUGUGCUUAUGUUUGCCUUGAAGCAUGCCUUCUAAAUUUAUUAUAGGUUUGUUAGAGCUAGAGAAGGUCCUAAUCUGUGCAAAUAUAAUAGCAUAGCAUGAAAGGAUAAUUUAUCCCUCUACUUCACUAUUUACUUGCUUAAGAGGAGCUACCCAAAUUUGUGUGUCAGAAGAUUAAGAACUAUAUAGUGAGGAACAGAUGGAUUGGAUUGCCUGGGGACUAUAAGUAUGUCCCAAGUGGUGCUUAUCUGGUCGCAUAGAGCUGGAAGAGAAGCCAUGCUAACAGGCACAUGUAAGCUGGCAUGUUGGUACGGUGUGGUGAUGAAAGACAUGGAAGGGGUUGCCACUAUUUUAUCACAUCAGGCACUGGCCUGUUCUCUUUAGAUGACUACUCUCCUAGAACAUACAUUGGGGUCAUGUUUCUUUGAUCUUAUCUGAGGGGCCAUAUGCUAUUUUAUUUUGUUCAACCUAGAUCUGUUUUUCUGCAAUCAUGUGAUACUACCAGCUUAUGCCUUAAGAUUUGAU